Molecule: long non-coding RNA, 49688 nt
Filed under: Gossypium raimondii (Peruvian cotton)
Lineage: Eukaryota; Viridiplantae; Streptophyta; Magnoliopsida; Malvales; Malvaceae
Description: long non-coding RNA (GRAI_LNC005993)
Source: RNAcentral
GGAGUUUGCAAAUCUCAACAUUAUCCUCUCUGCUGAAAUAUUAAAAUUUGAAAUAUUUGAAACAAACACAUCUUUCAAGGAGGUAACCUUCUGUACAGACAAAGAACCUUCAUCCACCAAUUCUUCACACCCUUCAACCCAUAUUUUACGCAGCAAGGGAAAACAAGAAAUUGAAACUACCAGUCUCUUACACUCAUAGAUUUCAAGUGUCUGCAAGGAUUGAAGGAUGGUUGGCAACCUUCCCAACAAUAGAGGACAUCUUUUAAUUGAAAGCUUACGAAGGCUGGGAAAUUUCGAAACUUGCUCAUCGUCUUCACAUAGGUUCCACUCCUCCCAAUUCAGCAUAUUGUCAAAACACAGAGACUCUAGUGAUGCAAAAGCAUUUGAUUGAUUUUCUCCAAACAACUCAGCACCAAUCUUGUGUACUUGAUCCAAACCACUAAUUGAAAGAUCUUUUAACCACAACAACCUUCCAAUCGAUGGUAGAGAUUUGCAAUUUUUACAAUUGCGAAGCUCCAAUGACAACAUAUUUUCGAAGGAAGAAUCUGCAAUCCAAGUAGAGAAUUUCGCACCACCAUAAUUCUGAAUGACGAGUUGCUCAAGCUUUUUUGGAGGACGAAGAGAGUCCAACACCCAUUCUUCAACUUCUUUAUUCCUUGAAGCCUUUUCAAAUUUUUCACUCCAAUGCAAUACCAAUCGACGAAUUCCCCGCUUCUCAUUUAACUUGGUUUCCCCUGCAUCUUCACCAUUAACAUUCUCCAACCCAGAAAGACGGAAAUCACCUUUGAGGUUUGACAAAUAUUUCAAACCUCUAAUAUAACAACCAUCACCUUCCCCUAUUAUAAAAUCAGUUAACCUUUGAAGUUUCGUUAGCUUAUCAAUUCUAAAAGGAAUCCUUUCUAUUGAGUCCGCACCUCUGAUAUCAAGAUAAUGCAAGUUGACAAGAUUUCCCAUCUUUGAAGGUAACCUUUGAAGCCAGUAACACCCUCUUAAUAAUAAAGUUUCCAAAUGGUAAAGAGUGCACAAAGAAUCAGGUAAGCAUUUGAUAUGGGUGUUGGAAAAAUUUAAGUAGCGAAGAUGUUUUAAAUUUUCAAAAACAUCAGGCAACUCAGUGAUCCAAUACCCACUCAAAGAAAGCAUCCUUAAGUAGCCAAGUCUUGGUAGCAAAUCAACCAAAACAACAUUAGUUAAAAAAGGCCCCCGAUAAUCACUAGAAAACAUUAAGGGUAAAAAAGUACGUAAAGAAUUCACUUGAUCAAAUGCUUCAAACUUCUUCACUGUGUCAUAUGUUCCAGCAAUAUAAGAAGAAUGUCGAGUGCGAUUUGAGAACUUCCAUUUCUUAUCACCCUCUAAUUUUGAGCAUAUUUCCCCUGCAACUACUUGAGCUAAAUCAUUGAUUAGGUCAUGCAUUACGAAUCGGGACUUAUCUUUACUGGAUGUCUGAAAAAAUGACCUGGACACUAGAUCUUGAAAAUAUUGAUUUCCGAGAUCUUUAAUUUGAGGCAUAGCUUUUUGUUGCAAGAGACCUUCUGCUCCCCAUAACAAGAUAAUUUCUUCUUCCUCAAAUUCAUAACCUUUAGGAAGUAUGGAGCAAUAUGCAAAACAUCGUUUCAAGUAUGACGGAAGAUGAUGGUAGCUUAAUCGCAAAGCUGGAAUUAUGCCACACUGCUCUUCUGGUAAGUUCCAUAUCUCACUCUCGUAUAUUCUUUCCCAUCCUGCAUAGUCUUUAACUGUGCGUAGCAAGCUUCCGAUGGCUUUUGCAGCCAAAGGUAAGCCACUGCACCUUCUAACAAUUUUCUCCCCAAUUUCUUUAAACUGGAGAUCUCUAUCGAAAUUUCUUUCUUUUAAUGCAUGCUGUGUAAAUAUGGAUAAACAAUCAUCAUCCGAGAGUUUAUCCAAAUGAAAAGCUUUGAGCGGAUCCACAAUAGAUGAAACAAUUUGAAGACGAGUGGUUACAAUGAUAUGGGUCCCUGCUCCAAACGGAGACCGUAAGAUGGUCCAAUCAUUAUAAUUCUCGUUCCAAAUGUCAUCUAAAACAAGCAAGAAUCUUUUCCCAGACAACUUCUCCUUCAACUUAACUUGAAGUAAAUUCAAGUCAUUCUCGUCACGAGAGUCAGGAUCGAUGGAUUUUAAAAUUGUCCUGGUUAUAUUAACUGCGUUAAAUUUAUCAGAAACGCAUACCCAGGCCUUGUGGUGAAAAGACUGGUUGAUGGUGGCAUCAUUGUAAACAAGCUGAGCAAGAGUUGUUUUACCCAUCCCUCCCAUGCCGACGAUGGAAAGGACUGAAACUCCGUUGGAGUUAUCACCUUUGAGAAACUCAAUCAUUUCUGUCUUCUCCUUGUGUCUGCCAACAUAAUCCACAACUCCAUCCAGUACGGAAGUUGGUUGCAGCCUAGGUUGCUUUCCCUUGGGGGUUGGAGCUUGAGACAAGAUCUCACUCAACCCCAAACUACUUCUUCGAGUAGUCAAACUAUUCAGUCUAGCAGUGAUCUCUUUCACCUUUGGAAUCAUGGAAUUCUGAAACAGGAAAGAAGUGGGAGGGAAAAUACUACGAAUAAUCCUUUCAGGAAUGAAUUUCCGUAUCUUACUAGGUCUGGCUUGAGCUUGAGUGUCUUGGAGAUUGAGGCGUAACUCUUCAUAAGCGAACUCGUCCAAGAUGUCAUCCACAUCGUAUGCCAAGUCCUGGAGAUCCUCCAACCAUUUCUUCACACCCAUGUUCUUGAUCUGCUUCCCCUCUGCAUCGUCCAACACUGCUUGGAUAUCAGGCAAUAUGGACUGCCACUGCUUGAGCUGCUGGUGGAGUUGGUAGUGAUCAGCAACAAAGUUGAGUGCAGAGUCAAGCGAUUUGCCCACCAACAGGUCCAGGAACCCAGAAAGAGCAGCCUCUCCAAUGACAGACAUGGUGGAAUUGUGAGAAAUAAGGGGACAAGAGAAAUGAGCAAAGCCAAAAUGGAAAGUCAGGGAACAAAAAAGAAAGAAAGGGAAAUGGAAUCUGCAAAAUUAGAGAAAGUUGAAGAAAUUGGCACAGUAUCCUUGAAGCAUGUCAUUUAAUAAUUCAGACUCUGAAGCAAUGAGUUGGAAGUCUUUUCGUGUUAAUGGGGAAGGAAAAAUGGAAAUGAUGGGACCUUUGCAUUUGAAUUUUGAUGCUCUUCUUUUCUCUUGCUUUUGGUCAUUAUCCUAAAUAUGUAAUUUAAUUAAACAUCAAAAUAUUAUAUUUCUCACAACUAUAUCGCCAAAAUAUAGCAAACACCAAGACCAUAUUUGGUUCGCUGUAAUAGAAUAGAGGCGUAAUGGAAUAGAGACGUAAUAGGUAAUUCUUUUGUUUGGUUGAGUGGAAUGGAAUAGAGGCAUAAUGGUAUUCUUGUGUUUGGUUGAAUGGAAUAGAGGUGUAAUAGCAUAAGGAAAAAAGCUAAAAUGACUAGAAUACCCUUAACAGAAUUUUUGUAAGUAAAUGAUUAUUGUUAUUGUUAUUAAAUUUUAAUAAGAUUAUUAAUAUAAAUAAUAAAUAAUUUAAUCAUAUUUUAACAUGGUUGUUAUUAAAUAUAAUUUAAUAAAAAUAUAUAAUUUAAUAAAAUUGUUAAUAAAUAUUCUUAUAUGAAUUUACUAAAAUCAUAAUAUAUAAUAUUAUAAAAUAUAAUUUAAAAUAAUUAUUAGUAAAUAUCAUUUAAUAAUAAUAUAUAAUUUAAUAAAAUUCUUAUUUUUAUAUGAAUUUACUAAAAUCAUAAUAUAUAAUACUAUAAAAUAUAAUUUAAAAUAAUUAUUAGUAAAUAUAAUUUAAUAAUAAUAUAUAAUUUAAUAAAAUUCUUAUUCUUAUAUGAAUUUAUUAAAAUCAUAAUAUAUAAUACUAUAAAAUAUAAUUUAAAUAAUUAUUAUUAAAUAUAAUUUAUAAUCUACUUUAUUAUUUUUAAACUGCAAUACAUAUUUAAUGUGGUAAAAUAUCAUUUGUGGAACAAAUAAUUUAAUUAUUCUACAAUAAAAAAAUAUUAGCAGUAAUAAAUAACUUUAGAAUUAUAUUUUGCAUAAACAUAAUUUUCACAUAUUAACAAACUGUUAAAUGAAAUUCAUGAAAUUCUAUAUCACAAUCCAUAUGUUAUACAGUUUUGCCACAUCAAAAAGUUAAAACAUUGUAAUAACAUAUCAUCCCAAAUAUUACAAACAGAAAAAGUUACGAAAAUGUCAUCAACAAAACCAUAAUUUUUAAUGGUCAGCAAGAAUUCUUCUGACCCAUUCCAACCGUACAUUCAGAAGGUAAACUAAAGAAAACGAGCAUUUGAGUUGGAUGAUCUGUAAUUUUACUCAAUGCUCGAAACCGCUCAUCCACAGUUAAACCUUCUAUUUCACAUAAGGUUGGAUAUAAAUUUGUAGCUUUUUCUUGGAUGGUAUGGAAUUCUUCUGACCUUUGUUGAACUACCACAUCAGAGGCAAUACUCCUACUGAUUUGUUCGCCAAUGGCCCGCAUGUUAUCAGUCAAUAAAGUGGCAGCUUCAUUAACUGAAGAAGAAAAAUGACCACUUGCAUCAGAAUUAUUUUUUUUCCUCUUUGAAGAUGAAGAACCCCUUUGGUUUCUAUCUGGUUGCGGCUCCGUAGCAGAAACAUCCAUGUCCUCCAAAGAGACAUUAUCAUCGCAGUCAUAGUAUUCGUUUCUUUCUUCAUUAAUAUCUGCAGUAGGUACAUCCUUAGCAUUUAUUUCUUCAAGAACGUCAGCGGCUGUUUGAGCGUCUUUCCCAGUCGCUCGAUCUUUUGCGUAUAUGGCAGUCAGUUGGUCGUAGUAAGGGAAACUACGAUGUCUGAACUGACCGGCUUCUUUAUGACUCUAUAAAAAAGAGGAAAUCAUAUUAGUUAUAAGUUUGGUAAAAAUAAGAUAAUAAAGACUUGAACUCAUUCUUACCUUUAAAUAAGAGUCCCAAACCGCAUCCUCAGCAACAACGACCUGCCUAUGGUCGUCCCAACCAAAACCGCUAUUGUUUUGGCCAUUAAACAUGUCAUACACGAUUGACCAAUCCCUUUUUAGUAACCUAAUCCUUGACUCGAUAUUAGGUCUAGCCUUCAACAUUGCAUUAGGUAAAGUCUUUUCUAACAUUUUUUCCAACUCGUUUAAGUAACCGGCUUUGAACCCCGUAUCAGUGUUAAAUGUUCCAACAUUGUGCAAGUCCACCAUGCAGGAAACCAAUGCUGCAGCUUCUUCUGAAACCCAUUUUCUUUUGGUUCCUCGAGAUGAUUGGGAAGGAACAUUUGAUUCUGAAACACCUGACAUAAUUAUCUUAAGAAAAAAAAUUAAAAUUAAGUUUAAUAUCAUGAAUCAAAAGGUGAACACUUUAUAAAAUUAAAAUUGAGUUCAAUAUCAUGAAUCAAAAACUCAACACUGUAUAAAAUUAUAACACAUGAUGAAUGAAAAGAAAUCAAACUAUAAUUCAACAAGUUUAGUACAAUACAAAAAACACAAAAACACCACCAAAGUUCCAUCCUCCAUAAAUCUAACUAAUUUCUAGAUGCUUGCCAUUCAUCAAACAUUUGGUUGGCUAGUUCCAUCUCCAAGUAGCCCAAGCAUCCGAUGGAUGAAUAUUGACGAUAUGAGGUUUAUCGUCAUCUACCACAUCACUAGGUAAUCCUUCUCCCACCUCCGCUUCAAUAGGAUCAAUACUCAUAUAGGUUCGAAUAAAAUUAUGGAGCAAACAACAUGCAUUAAUGAUUCUAUUGUGCACCCUUACAGGAUAGAAUGAUGGACUCCUAAGUAUUCCCCAUCUAAGUUUUAAUAACCCAAAGCAUCUUUCAAUAACAUUACGUGCUGAGGCAUGUUUCAUAUUAAAAAAUUCUUGCAGAGUACUUGGCUGAUAACCCUGACGCCACUCAUUCAAAUGAUAUCAUUGUCCUCUAAAAGGUGCAAGAAAUCCCUCACAAUUUGUGUAUCCAGCAUCAACUAGAUAAUAACAACCUAUUAAAAAAAUUUAAAAAUGAUUAAUUCCCCAAAAAAAAUUGAUCUUAAUGAAUAAUUCAAAGUCCUCUAACUAUCCACUUUACCAUGAGGAACUUUUAGUCCAUGUCUCCUACUAAUGGCAUCUCGAAGAACUCGCCCAUCAGCAACAGAACCUUCCCAACCAGGAAGAACAUAAACAAAUUGUAUUUUAGGUGUACAAACACCUAGAACAUUUGUUGCUAUGUCACCUUUUCGCGUUCGAUAUCUAGGUUUAUCAACCCUUGGAACCCUAAUCUUGAUGUGGGUUCCAUCAAGAGAACCUAAGCAAUUCUAUAUGACAUGUUAUAAAACCUUGAGUUAGGAUACUAAAUUUAAAUCUAAAUCAACUAAAUUAUGUACAAGCUAUAUAUAAAACUCAGUCCAAUACCUUAAACCAUUUCCACCUUCUGUCUGAAGAAUUAGCUGUAAUUGGCUCCGCUUUUUAAAUAACACAUCUUGUAAGCGUAUGACAGCAUUUAAAACACUAUGAAAUGAUCUGCUAACAGUUUCCCCGGACCUAUUGAAGUGAUGCUUGAUAACUCGAUUUUUAAGGUGAUAGGAAAUGAUAUGUAAAAACAUUGCUACUUGCUCAUCAACAAGCAUGUGCCUUGACGACUUCAAUCCCCCUAACGUUUGUAAUAUCUCACAUAGUUUGAAAAAGGAAAAUCUAUUCAUCCUAACUUGUUCAAUACAGGUCUCAUCACUAGCAUAUACAAGCCUUUUCACAUAAUCCCGUUGUGCAUAAAAAUCUAAAAUAUAGGACCUAAUCAUUGGUCUAUAAGUAUGUAGGCUAUUGAUGGCACCCAAUGUAAGUAAAAACCAACUCGCAAUUUUACAUAUUUCCAACCAUAUUGUCAAUGCAAUUCCAAUUCUUUUACGCCUCACACUUUGUGCAAUUAAAGGCAGACGAGCCAUUACUGCAAGAUAUUAAUGUGUUCCAUAUUGUCAAAUCGUAGUAAAAUGGUCACAUUUCUCCAAUCAUAAUUUCAAUAACAGUAAACUAAAAUUAAAUAAUUUAAUUGCCAAAGAACUUACAGUGAUUGUGUGAAAAGAAGACGCUGAAUUGUAGGUGGAGGAAGCAAUCAAACAAGCCGCUUCAAUAGGAAGCAAUAUCACACUAUCAAAGAAAAAUGAACAAUACUAGUUUAAAAUCUUAACCGUAUUUUUUGACAACAAUGUUACAAAUUUAACAUUAACAAACCACAUUUUUCUUUAAAGAAUUUUUAGAAGCACUUUCAAUCAUAAUAACAAUGAAUACUUGUUUUCUUUAAACAAUUUUUACAAGCACUUUCAAUCAUAAUAACAAUGAAUAUUUGUUUUUUAAUCAAGUUGUUUACUUGAUUAUAUCUAAUGAUCAAAUUUUAAUAUAUCCAAUAAUUGUUUUUUAAUCAAGUUGUUUACUUGAUUAUAUCUAAUGAUCCAAUUUUAAUAUGUUAUAAAUAUUUGUUUUUUAAUCAAGUUGUUUACUUGAUUAUAUCUAAUGAUCCAAUUUUUAUUUUAUUUUAUUUACUCAUGAUUGGAUUAGGUUUAAUUUAUAAUGGUUGAAAAGUCGAUAUAUAUGUAAUAUUAUUAAAAUAAUAUUUUUAAUUUUGUUGGAUAUAAAAAUAUUUUUAAUUAAUGCGUUGUAUAUGAAUAUACACAUUUAAUUAAUGUGUUGUAUAUGAAUAUACAUUAGUGCAAGAAAUCCUAUAAUUUCGUACAGGUCUCGUAAUUGCUCGAUUAAAAUUUUCGAACUACCUCAACUUAAGAAAUUCGAUCCCAAAUUCAAAUUUUUCAAUACCAAUAAAAAUCAACUUAUUACAUCACCACUUGCAAAAUAUAAUUAUAAAAACAUUACUAUGGAGUAAGCCAUAAAAAAAAACAGUCCAAUUUACUGGAAUUGCAACUAUAAAAAACCUCUUGAAUUGCAACUAUAAAAUACCUCUUGAAUUGCAACUAGAGCUUCAGCUUGCCAACGAUUUAUGUCUGGAGCAAAUCGGUAGCUAACAGUCCAAUACGUACAAAAGUUCACAUAGAACAUCAAUUUAUUGGAACAACAGUGGUCAGAUACACCAGGCGCAAGAAAUUUAACAAGGGUGCUAAUAUACAAAAGAAUUUACACUUCUAAGCAUUAGAAAUCAAAUUAAAAUCAACUAGUAUUAAAAUAAUUAUCACAAUAUUUGUAAAAUUUAUAAUUAUAACAAGUGGCAAAUUAUUAUUUUGUCAAUUAAAGGAGCACAAUCCUUAACUGUCAGCCUCCUGGUCACUAAAGGAACACCAAGGUACCUAAUAGGCAGCCUUCCCAUGUUAAUCCCAAUAAUUCUAAGAAUAUCCUCCAUUUCCUCUCAAGAAUCCCAGAAGCAAAAAUUUCAGUCUUUGCAGGGUUAGGCUUUAAACUAGAAAAACAAAUUUAGCAUCACAUCAGGUAAGUGCUUUGUAAGUCAUUUAACCAAAAUCCUAGUGAUACACUCACAAAAAAGCAGAGCAGUAUGAGAUUGGCCGAAACUUCCUCAUAUGACCAGGAUUUUUAACCUUGGGAACUAAUACAAUUGUGGUUGUAUUAAAAGCAGGCAACAACUUAGAGUAAUUAAAAAAACAACACUGCUCUAAUCACAUCAGCGCCUACGAUAUGCCAUGCAACUUUGAAAAAAUCCCAGGCCAAUGUUUGCAUAGUUGGGUGUUGUGAAGGUUCCGGCAAUGCGGUUAGAUGCAAAACUCCACAUGCUGAUAGGAUGAACACAGAUGAUUACAUAGACAACAUCAUUCUUGUAGCAGACACAGAACCUAAAUAAUUACAACAUGUCAUAUAAAAUAGCGCAGUUACCAAAAGGCAACCUAGGCACUUGAGGUAGACAUACUUCAGGAAGCAUUUCCAUGUUUGGUAUGCAGCUAAUGUUUGUUUACCAAUCUAGCAGUCCAUUUUGAAUUAACCCUACCAUUAAUACACAUGUAUAUUACACACUAAAAGUCAAAAGGAGAAGAGUAAUAAGAUUUCCUCAUGUAUAUAUUACACACUAAAACCAUGUCGGAUAUAUGCUUAUAUCAAAGCACUCACACAAAGUAACAUAGAAGAAGGUUACUUGACAUAAAUAGAAUGUCCUAAAAACCCUCUGAUUGAUGCAAACUUACCUCUUUUCAACUUUCAAGGUAUUGACACUAGGUUUAUGAAAAUUUCCCUUGACAGACGAUUUGAUUUCAAUUUCAACAUAUUCCAAGCCAAGACAAGCUAAAAUAAGUUAUCAUACAAUUUCGUUUCAUAUCAAUGUUAUAAAUAAAUACCCUAUCCUUAAGAAUGACAAAGCAUCUUAAAUCAGAAAAUUUCAUUCUAAAACUGCUAUUGAUAAUUUAUAUAUAAAAGAGCCAAAAUCACCUAGAAGUUGAAUCACUAGUAGAUAUAAGGAAGAAAAUGAAAGUACCUAGAAAAGAAAGCACAAACAUAAAUCCCAGAAAGAAACAAAAAUUGAAACGAAAAGAAAAGGUAAACAAUUCGGAAACAAACCAGCAAUGAACUGAAACAAAACUUAACCAAUUAGAGGGUAUGAUCUUUACAAUUAAAAGCAUCUUACAGAGCAUCGGGAAGAAGAAGACGAAGAGUUCUCCUUGUCUCUUUUCUAUACGCUUUUAACUGUAUUUUCCCCGACUCUGGGAUUUUUUUGAUUUGUCUGCUGAAAUUGAAAAAAAAGGAUCAAGAAUCAAGCAUGUUGGUCAUGGGAACAAAUUUAAUAACACUAAUCUAUUUGAGAGAAUUGUUAAAACCCCUUACAUUCCAAAAAAGGAUUAACUAAAUCUUCUUCCAGUUCACAUUGAACAAUCUGUUCCAAUUCACAUUCAUCAUUCAAUAUCUCAAACCUAUUUUCAGAACCAGAAAUAACAGCUUUCCCUUUACCCUUCGAAGAUUUCCUCUUAACCAUACUUGAAGCACUCCCCUGUAACUCAUUCGCAGCCAUUACAACUUCUAAUUUUUUAUCAAAUGAAUUAAAGUUUCAUUUUAGGAAUAUAUUAAAUCUUUGAUCACGAAAAUUGGGAUUCAUGAUUCAAUUCAACUAGUUUAAGCCCUAGUUUUCAGAAACCUUAGAUGCCAAUUUUUAACGAUAGUUACAUGAUUCAACUAAUUUGAUGAAUCAAGUCUUACUAAAACCUCAUUUUAAAGGUGAAUGCAUGAUUCAAUUUCUAGAAAUGUUGAAUCUUUCAUCAUAGACAUAAAAGGGAAAACACGUUGAAAGAAAAAUGUUAGGGCAGACAAUGUUUACCUUGAUUGAAUUGGAAAGGUUUUCUUGAGGGUUUCUUUGGAGAUACUUGUUGGGAUUUGAAGAACAGAAGUCUAUUUUUGGACUUCCCUACUCACUGCAUUUGAAGAACAGAAUGGUGCGUUUGGUUCGACAAAACAAUCAAAUGAAAGUGAACCGGGAGCGGUGGAGGUCACUUUGCUGGCAGCUUCUAUUUGAUGUUGGGAGGGAGAGUUCUGGAGGUGGAUUUUGGCUUGGGAAGAUGAGGGUAAAACAGGGCAUAGAAAUUCUAAGAAUGCUAAACGGAAGCUAAACUGAACUUUGGGCAGGGAAUAGAAAUUGGUGAGUAAGGAGGAAUACGUACGCAAUGUAAUAGGCGCGUAAUGGGCAUUAGAGCGAACCAAAUGCUGGAAUAAGUGGGGCCCACCGAUUCGGCGCGUAAUGGUAUACCCAUUACGUCGAACCAAACAAAGUGCAAUACUCAAAAUUUUUGAAUCACAAAUAUUUACAGUAUUUAGCAUAUAGAAAACAAAAUUCUGAAAUUAAAUAAUAAUUUUUAUGAUUUUACAAUUUUAAUAGUUUAUAUCUUUAUAAAAUUUAAAAGAUUAAAUUAGAUUUUUAUCAUAUUUAAGGGAGUAAAGUGUAAUUUUAUAUUUAUUAAUUUAAAAUUUUAAAAUAUUUAAAGAGCUUAAAUGAAAAAUUUUUUAUUUUAGAGGACCAUGCCAACCCCUAGCUACGCCCGAGAUUGAUUGUAGCUAUAUUGUUAAUUGAUUUACUAUUUUACUAUUUAUACUAUUAUUUAAGCUUAUGACUAGUUGAUGUCACGAGUUAAUCAAGUACCAACUUGGUUAAAGAAAAUAUGAAAAUGUCACUCUAGUCUUUUUAUUAUAAAAAAAUAAAAAUAUGUGCAUAUAAUGGGAUUUUGAACCCAUAUCAAUUACAUUAAUAAAAUUAUUAAUUUACCACUCAACUAAAACUUUAAUAUUUUUAUACAUUUUUAUUUUAUUGUGCACACUUUAUUGUUAAUUAAUUUCAAACAUUAUGCUUUAAUUAUUUAUUGUAUGUUAUAUUCAAACGCACACUUAUAUUCUAAAUAUAUGAUUCCCAAACAUACGUGUGUGAUAAGUAUACUAAUUGUAACCUAUCUUACUAAUUGUUGUACUAAUUUAUGAUUUGCUUUCUUACUAGCUAGAUCUGUUAGCCAAACUCAAAUUACCUUCCUUUUAGAUCAAUUAAUUGACUUAAACCUAACUCAAUUACAUUUCUUUCUAGAGUGAUUAACCAAAAUAAUCGACCGAACCAAUUAAACGAGAUUGUUUCUAUUAUUAUAUUUAUGAAAUCAUGAUCGUUUAGUUAUUGGUAUUUUUUGUUGGGGUUAGGUUAAUUUAAUUUUCAAUAUUUCUAAACUAAAAUUUACAUCUAGAUUUGAUGAUGAUUGCUUGUCCACAGUUCAUGGGUUUCAAUUAUACCAACCUAUUCAAUCUUCUUUUUUCCCUAAUGCAUGUGAGAUCUCUUUUUCUUUUCCUUAGCAAAGUAUUUAGGGUCUCUCUUUUUUGGUCAAAGUAAUCUUUAAAUUUAAUAAAAUAAUUUAAAAACCCUAAUCACUUCUCCAUAAUUGAUGGAACUUACAAGUAUAAUUAACAAAAAAAAAAUACUGUUAUAAAUAAUUUAUGUCUCACCAAUUAUAACUAUAGAAUCAACUUAGUAUAGAAUACAAAAAGACUAAAAUCUAAUUAAAUACAAACAAAUAACAUUAAGAGUGAAAUAUAGGAAAGAACCCACACAUGAUAUUUACGUAUUAUGAAACUCAAACUUGGGCUCUCGAGUCCCAACAAAUCUCAUUGGCUCAUAAGCAAAUAUUUUAAUGUAUAACUAAAUUCAUUACUGAAUCAGUACUCUAGAAAUUAGUUAUUCUUAAGUUGAAAGAUUUGUAUGUAUAACAAAUUUAUAUAGUUUUAGAGAAGAAGAUGGAAGAUGGCCAAAUAGAAAGGACCAUUGGAAGGAUGAUAGUGAAGUUCCAGUUCCUACUCAGUUUCUGGUAUUAAAGAUGAUGGACAAUGUGGAAGGGAAACUAUUGAACAGGUCAUAUUGAAGAAAUAGUAGGGUGAUUAUAACCAAAGUGUAUUAAGGGUCGGACCUUGGCUUUUGAAUUUUGAUGAAAUCUCUCUGCCAUUUCUGAAAUUCCAAUUUUCCUUUAAGGAAAACGAUGACGACGAUGCCAAUCUAAUUCCCAUUCAAUUAAACCCUGAUCUCGAUCACAAUGCCAUCUACUGCCCAUAUAUCAAGUUAUUAUUUCCAUUCACUUUAAAGCCUGUUGUAGUUUUGGUUCAAUUUAAUAUUGCCAUUAAACAUCAUGAUUAAUUGACACAAUAUAGCAACCACACACAUGUCCUACUUUCUUUUGGGGUUGAAAACAUCACUGUAAAUGCAAAAGGAGAGAAGGUGAAGCCUUUCAAAUUCUCCACAUGCGAAAUGGUGCUGACAUGUCAGAUGGGCUGAUGUGGCAUACUAUGUUAGAAAAAUUAUAAAAAUAUUUUAAAAUUAAUAAAACAUAUAUAUACAUUUAGAAUAAAUCUGGACAAUGGUUAUCCAAAUUCAAAUGAAUUUGGACAAAACAAAUAUAGCCUUUAUACCAAAGCAAUUAGUUUUAUAUUAGAGGUAUUAGAGUUUAGGUUCUAUUUUGUUAAUCUACUUAUACAUGUUAUCUAAUAUGUUAAUUUUGUCUCAAAUUCAAAAAUAAUUGGUGCUCAAAAUGAUUCAAACCUAAGAUGACAUAAGUUUGAGAUGACCCUAUUUGAAAAACUUAAAUGGUGGUAAUCCAAAAUGGCUCAAACAUGAAACAACUUAAACCCAAAAUUGACCCGAACCAUAAUGACUCUCUAUUUAUAGCAGUAACAGAAAGGCAAAAUAGUAAAUAUGAAAGGGAAAAAGAGUAAAAAUCGUAGGGUUACCAUUUCCGUGCAAUAGUAAAAAAUAUAUUUUGUUGCCAAAAUUUUCGCAACCGUCAAAAAUCGAAAAAUGUUUUAAAGAAAUUAUUUUUUGAAAAAUAAUAUUGAUUAAAAUUAGAGAUAAAUUAUGGAUGAAAAUAUUGAAUUAUUUCAAAUGAUGAAGAGCAACUUUAAUAAUGUAGAGGGACUGGGUCGGUGUACCGAGGAUGAUACUUCGAAGGCUACUCUCAGAAGAGUCGAUCUGUAGCUCAAGUGGUACCAUAUACCUCAACAAUUGACCUAUAUUCAAUAGGUUAAGGGUUCGAAUCUCAUCAAGGGUGAGACUCUCAUGUCGCCUCUUAGUGGUGAUUGCAAGUCCACAUACGGUCAAGGCACCCCUUUUUGUGAGUAGUACAUGGCUCUCCACGGAGUGGGGGACAAAACCCUCUCACAGGGGAUAAUACCUUCUGUUGUUGAGACACUGGAUCGGCAUCCUCAAAGACGGCACUUCAAAAACUUCUCUCGAAUAAGCCGUCCCCAUUAACAAAUAAAUAAUUACUCUACACAACCGUAUUCUAUCUUUUAAAAUUAUUAUUUUGUCCCUUAAGAUAUCCAUUAAUCUUUUUAUGUAUUUCUAAUAUACAUGCUAUAUAUAUAGUAAAAUGAUAUAUAUAUAUAAUCUACACUAAAUAUGAGAAGAUUAUAAAUAUAAUAAUCUAUAAUUACUAAUGAAAAUUUUGGUUUGUACCGUUCACAUUGGCCGAAACAUGGUACACCUACUACUGCUGCAUUAAUAAUGUUAAAAAAUAUAAAUAUUUUAACUAUUUUCUAUUAGACUAAAUAUUUAAUUGAAAUGUAUUGACCAAUAAAAAAAAUAUUACACUAGAAAGUAAAAUUUAACAUUUAAAAUUUUUUUUGGAGCAUACUUUUUCAUGUAAAAUAUAAAAAUUAAAAUAUAAUAGAAAAAAACCCACUCACCUCAUUAUCAUACAGCUUUUCUUAUUGAAAAAACCCCCCACAUCCUUCAAUUUCUUUUUUUCUUCUUAAUUUUGAAUUUUUUGAAUGAUGAGUUUUGUAUUUACUGUGGUUGUUUUAUUAAUAAAAUUAUGUUUUGGAUUGAGAAAAAAAAUUAAGAAAUUCAAAACACAAAAACGAAAGUAGAGAAAGUGAACACAAUAAUUUAUGUGAUUCGGAAUAUUUCCUACAUCCACGGAUAGAACCAAAAAUAAAAUUCACUACUAAAAAAUGGAGAUUACAAAGGAAUUACAUAAUAAAAUAAAAUAACUCACCACAAUAACUAUCCACAAACUUUGAGCAAUCUUCUAAAUAAGCAUCAACUAUACACUUUCCACAAAUUGAAAAAUACUGGCAAUAAUAAAUAACAAGUGACCAACAAUCUCAAAAUGUCAAAAACAAUACUUUAUUUCAAACAUCCUAACCUCUUAUCAAUCAUCAAUGGAGGCCUAAGAUAAGUUGAUUUGUGUAGAUAGAAAUAGAUGAUGCUAAAAGCAUUACAAAAAAAAAAACUUACCACUCCAUUCCUUUUGUCAACAUCUGUUGACCAACGACGUUGUGCUGUUGUUGUGCCCAUAAGCAGGUAUUGCCCUCUUUGGAUGCCCACCAUUCAAGGGUUUAACACCCAAAGAUACGUACACCUCCCCAGUGGUACCAUUUGGCCUUUUAUCUGCCACCAAUUUCAUGGUUCCCAAAGUUGAAAGAAAGUACAAGGCUAAAUAAAUAGCAUAUUUGGCUCCUCAACUACAACUUUGUACCAAGCACCAAAAUAUGAUCCAACACCGGAAAGGAAUGUCAGAAGAACAAAUUCUCCAUAUAACCUAUACUUGCCCUAUCAAAAACAUUAAUAACAUCACAGUUGAAGCCCUUCAAAGCAGGGGAAAUUCAUAUAAAGAUUGGUAGAAAAUAUGCCAAUCUACUGGACCGAAAAGCUGAAAAACAACAUUAAAAGAGAGUGGAUAUAUAUCAUUUGAUUCAUUUAACUCAUACCUCAAAGUCAAAAGCAAGAGAGUCGAUAUAUAGUGAGUCACUUAGUCACUGCUAUUUUUGGGAACACUCAGGCUGGAAGUGAAAACCCCAAAUUGCAGCUCAGUGAACUCUGUUGUGUUUAUGUUAAAUUGAGCUCUCUAAUGCCAUGUUGUAACGUGUACUGUAUCCCUCCAUUCAUCCUGAAAGGAUCAAUACCAUGUCUACAGUGAUGACGAAAUCUGUUGGCACUGAUAUCCUUAUGCAAUAACAGAAAUCUAUCCACAAAGAUCAACAAACUAUCACGUAAAAGACUUGUUCUUCUGAAACACCAUUGGUUAAUAGUACAAUGAAAUCUCAAAUAUUUUUAACUAAAAUCCCAUUCCCAUAUACCAAUUUCAUAGCAACUGCUUAGAAAUUAGAAGAUGCAGAUGAAAACAGAACAUUCAAUUUGCAGAAUAAAUGUUGCAGAGAUUUGACUAACCGCUUUACUAAAUCAAAUAAGCUGAAGCAGACCAGUUGAAGGUCUCCUCUAUGUUUCGCCAGUUUAGCCUUCAAUGCCUGCAAAAAGUAAAUACAAAAUAUAUAACACCGAUUUCUAUUAUCGUGUUGUUGAUGAGGACAGUCAGAUAUAUAUAAAGAAAAGGUAAUGAAAUUGAUAAAUGUUUAAAAUGCGUUUCGCACCUAUGGUUUGAGUGUGGAGAAAUCGAUGCUAGAUUUUGCUGCUUAAAUUUCAAUAUAAUUCCCUCGGGUUGACUAUUUCACCAUCAAUUCGAACAUAAGGUAUGUGGGCAAUCUUGGACCACUCUCGUCCUUUACCCCUACUGCACCCUUUUUCUAGCAACGGGCAAUCAUAAAUAGAUAGAGGCUCAAGCGAGAGAAGCAUAUCUUUUUCCGAAAGAGAUGUGAGCUUAGGACAAUCAUCGAUUCGCAAUUUUUGAAGAGAGGUCAGGUAUUGAAAGCCCUUGGAGCACAUGAAUUCCAAAUUCUCAAAAUUUUUAAUGGAAAUAGAUGUGAGAGAAGGAGGCAGCGUCAUUCCUAUCCCUUCUUCUGGAAACGACACCACAUUUGAGCAUCCUUCACCGCUGAUGUUGAGUUGCUGAAGAGAGGUGAGUCUGUUAAAUCCCCAUUGAACAAGUGAUGUAUAAAUUUUGGGUGCGUUUGAGAUUGCAAGUGAUGUGAGGUUGGCAGGGAAACCCUCUUCUGGAAAGGAUAUGUCAGCCGAACAAUAAGACACCUUUAAUUCUCGAAGGGAGGUGAAGUUGUUGAUGCACUUGGGAAGGACUCCAAAAUUUUCACAAUUCUUAAUUGCGAAAACUCUGAGAUUUGUGGUGGGCAACCCACUUUCUUCAAAUGAAACCAGAUUUGGACACAAUUUUAAUCGAAUCUCUUGAAGAUGGCUGAGCUUGUCUAAUCCCCGCGGUAAUGAUUUAAAUUUUCCAGCACCCGAAAUACGAAUGCUUUCGAGAUCAGUGGUUUCAAGGAAGUCUUGGGAUAUGCAUUCCAACACUGGACAAUCCCGAAUAAAUAGCUUUUUAAGCAUUACGGGUAACUUGGCGUUUAAAAAUAACCUACUUAGCUUUGAACACUCCAUAAUUUGGAGAUGUUGAAGCCGAUUGCAUAUAUCGCCCCUUGAUGAUAACCAUAUUAGAGAUGGACAGUAGGUUAUUUGCAAGCGCUCAAGAAGACAAGUGUUGCUACUCAUACUCAUACUCUUAUUAUUAUUUUCUUUUUCAUCAACCAAAUAUUGCAAAUUCUCGCAAUUCCCAAUCCACAGCUCUUUUAAAGCAGGAGGAAAGUUACUCUCUGCAAAAGAAACCAAGCGUGGACAGCUUUCAAGUUGCAUGGUUGUAAUGAAUGGGAAAGCAUGUAAGGCUUCUGGUAGUCUAUUGAGCCUUUCACAAUUAUUUAUUACCAGAGAUUCAACACCCGGAAUCUUAUCAAGUUGCAAUCUCUCCUCUCUGUUUCCAAAGAGACCAAUUGCGGACAAUUCUCAAUCGUGAUGAAACGAUGCCCGCCUAAUCUUAACCCAAUUUCCGAUAAAGAUCCCAACUCUUUCCAACCAGGGAUGUAGAAUGUUUCGGAGUUUGCAAAUCUCAACAUUAUCCUCUCUGCUGAAAUAUUAACAUUUGAAAUAUUUGACAAACACAUCUUUCAAGGAGGUAACCUUCUGUACAGACAAAGAACCUUCAUCCACCAAUUCUUCACACCCUCCAACCGAUAAUUCACACAGCAAGGGAAAACUUGAAAUUGAAACUACCAGUCUCUUACACUCGUAGAUUUCAAUUGUCUGCAAGGAUUGAAGGAUGGUUGGCAACCUUCCCAGCAAUAGAGGACAUUCUCUGACUGAAAGAAAACGAAGGCUGGGGAAUUUCGAUACUUGCUCAUCAUCUUCACAUAGGUCCCACUCCUCCCAAUUCAGCAUAUUGUCAAAACGCAGAGACUCUAAUGAUGCAAAAGCAUUUGAUUGAUUUUCUCCAAACAGCUCAGCACCAAUCUUNNNNNNNNNNNNNNNNNNNNNNNNNNNNNNNNNNNNNNNNNNNNNNNNNNNNNNNNNNNNNNNNNNNNNNNNNNNNNNNNNNNNNNNNNNNNNNNNNNNNUCCAAACGACUAAUUGAAAGAUCUUUUAACAACAACAACCUUCCAAUCGAUGGUAGAGAUUUGCAGUUUUUACAGUCGUGAAGCUUCAAUGACAACAUAUUUUUGAAGGAAGGAUCUGCAAUCCAAGUAGAGAAUUUUGUACCACCAUAAUUCUCAAUGACGAGUUGCUCAAGCUUUUUUGGAGGACAAAGAGAGUCCAACACCCGUUCUUCAACUUCUUUAUUCCUUGAAGCAUUUUCAAACUUUUUCCUCCAAUGCAAUACCAGUCGAUCAAUCCCCUGCUUCUCAUAUAACUUGCUUUCCCCUGCAUCUUCACCAUUAACAUUCUCCAACCCAGAAAGACGGAAAUCACCUUCGAGGUUUGACAAAUAUUUCAAAUAUCUAAUAUGACAACCAUCACCUUCCGCUAUGAUAAAAUCAGAUAACCUUUGAAGAUUCUUUAGCUUAUCAAUUCUAAAAGGAAUCCUUUCUAUUGAGUUCGCACCUCUGAUAUCAAGAUAAUGCAAGUUGACAAGAUUUCCCAUCUUUGAAGGUAACCUUUGAAGCUUGUAACACCACCUUAAUAAUAAGGUUUCUAAAUGGUAAAGAGUGCACAAAGAAUCUGGUAGGCAUUCGAUUUCUGUGCCCGAAAAAUUUAAGUAACGAAGAUGUUUUAAAUUUUCAAAAACAUCAGGCAACUCAGUGAUGGCAUACCCACUCAAAGAAAGCACCCUUAAGUAGCCAAGUCUUGGCAAUAAAUCAACCAAAACAACAUUAGUUAAAUAAUGCCGCCAAUAAUCACUAGAAAACGUUAAGGGUAAAAAAGUACGUAAAGAAUUCACUUGAUCAAAUGCUUCAAACUUCUUCACUGUGUCAUAUGUUCCAACAAUAUAAGAAGAAUGUCGAGUGCAAUGUGAGAACUUCCAUUUCUUAUCACCCUCUAAUUUUGAGCAUAUUUCCCCUGCAACUACUUGAGCUAAAUCAUUGAUAAGGUCAUGCAUUACGAAUCGGGACUUAUCUUUACUGGAUGUCUCAAAAAAUGACCUGGACACUAGAUCUUGAAAAUAUUGAUUUCCGAGAUCUUUAAUUUGAGGCAUAGCUUUUUGUUGCAAGAGACCUUCUGCUCUCCAUAACAAGAUAAUUUCUUCUUCCUCAAAUUCAUAAUCUUUAGGAAGUAUGGAGCAAUAUGCAAAACAUCGUUUCAAGUCUGACGGAAGAUGAUGGUAGCUUAAUCGCAAAGCUGGAAUUAUGCCACACUGCUCUUCUGGUAAGUUCCAUAUCUCACUCUCAUAUAUUCUUUCCCAUCCUGCAUAGUCUUUAACUGUGCGUAGCAAGCUUCCAAUGGCUUUUGCAGCCAAAGGUAAGCCAUUGCACCUUCUAACAAUUUUCUCUCCAAUUUCUUUAAACUGGAGAUGUCCAUCGAAAUUUCUUGCUUUUAAUGCAUGCUGUGUAAAUAUGGAUAAACAAUCAUCAUCCGAUAGUUUAUCCAAAUGAAAAGCUUUGAGCGGAUCCACAAUAGAUGAAACAAUUCGAAGACGAGUGGUUACAAUGAUAUGGGUCCCUGUUCCAAACGGAGACCGUAAGAUGGUCCAAUCAUCAUAAUUCUCGUUCCAAAUGUCAUCUAAAACAAGCAAGAAUCUUUUCCCAGACAACUUCUCCUUCAACUUAACUUGAAGUAAAUUCAAGUCAUUCUCGUCACGAGAGUCAGGAUCGAUGGAUUUUAAAAUUGUCCUGGUUAUAUUAACUGCGUCAAAAUGAUCAGAAACGCAUACCCAGGCCUUGUGGUGAAAAGACUGGUUGAUGGUGGCAUCAUUGUAAACAAGCUGAGCAAGAGUUGUUUUACCCAUCCCUCCCAUGCCGACGAUGGAAAGGACUGAAACUCCGUUGGAGUUAUCACCUUCGAGAAACUCAAUCAUUUCUGUCUUCUCCUUGUGUCUGCCAACAUACUCCACAACUCCAUCCAGUACGGAAGUUGGUUGCAGCCUAGGUUGCUUUCCCUUGGAGGUUGGAGCUUGAGACAAGAUCUCACUCAACCCCAAACUACUUCUUCGAGUAGUCAAACUAUUCAGUCUAGCAGUGAUCUCUUUCACCUUCGGAAUCAUGGAAUUCUUAAACAGGAAAGAAGUGGGACUGAAAUUACUACUGGUACAGCAGGUAGGAAUGAGUUUCCGUACCUUGCUAGUGCUGGCUAGAGCUUGCGAUUUGUUGAGCUUGAGACGUAACUCUUCAUAAGCGAACUCAUCCAAGAUGUCAUCCACAUCGUAAGCCAAGUCCUGGAGAUCCUCCAACCAUUUCUUCACACCCAUAUUCUUGAUCUGCUUCUCCUCUGCAUCGUCCAACACUGCUUGGAUAUCAGGCAAUAUGGACUGCCACUGCUUGAGCUGCUGGUGGAGUUGGUUGUGAUUAGCAACAAAUUUGAGUGCAGAGUCGAGCGAUUUGCCCAACAACAGGUCCAGGAACCCAGAAAGAGCAGCCUCUCCAAUGACAGACAUGGUGGAAUUAUGAGAAAGAAGAUGAAGAGAGAAAUGAACAAAGCCAAAAUGGAAAGUCAGGGAACAAAAAAAAGAAAGAAAGGGAAAUGGAAUCUGCAAAAUUAGAGAAAGUUGAAGAAGUUGGCACUAUUUUUUAAGCAUCCAAUAAUUCAGACUACGAGUUGGGAAGGCAGUGGAUUGUGAAAAAGAGGGACCCCAAGUGGUUGUUGAUCGGGAAAAGACAACGAAAGUGGAAAUUUUUCAUCUAUUUUAAUCAUUAAAUUUAUAUAUUUUUUAAAUCACUUUAAAAUAUAUAGAAAACUUUUAUACAAGAUCAGUUAAAAACAUUAAUUUUUUAUUUAUUUUGAGGUGAUAUAAUAAAAAAAUACAAAUUUAACAGAUAAGUAUUUUUCAUAAAGUUAGAUAGCUAAAUCUUUAUGUAUUUUUUUUACGAGACCAAAGUGAAUUAAAGGGUUUGUAACUCUAAAAUAGAUGUACGUUCUUAUAGCUUCAUGCACUAUUAGUUAGAAUGCAUCCAACACAAAUCUUAAGAUUGAAUUAAAUUCUGGAAAAAAUACUAAUACAAAUAAAAAUAUUAAAAUUUAGAAUAAAAAUAUUGAUGUGACAUUAAAUUAUUAAAAACGGAUACAAAUGUCAUUGUAUCUCAAUUUUAUACUAUCAUUCCUCCAAAAUAAUUAUAUUUUUACAUCAUGUUUUUAUAAUAUAUGAUGUGAUCAUAAAUUAAACUCUUAAUUAUAGUGAUUAAUGUUCCAUUUUUGCAACUAAAAUCAAUAAAAAAUGAAAUUAAUAAAUUGUAUUUUUUAUUGGAAAACAUCUUUAUAUUAAUUAAUUAUGAGAAAACCUUUUUUAUGGAGAAGUGUGUUUAUACUAAUUAUAUUAUAGAAAAGUAUGUUUGAUAAUAGGCCCAAUUGAUAUAUUUAUUGGGCUUAAUUUUAAUAAGUUCUUUAAUAAGAUGUGAUUAAUUUUAGAUUUAUUAUUUGAUUUUUGAUUCGGUAUAAAAAUAAACUCAAAAAGUGAAAAAGAGUCGGAAAUACGAGUUAUCGUAAAAGUUUUGGAUUGAAGAACUAGAUGGACCAUGAUCUAUCUUUUGAAAACUUUAUUUUGGGAAUUUAUUAGUAAGAAAUAACAGUACUUUUAUUUUUUUAUUAGGAUAAUGUUUUAAUAUUUUAGUAUUAUUUAGAUAACCCUAGAUUAAAGAGUUUAAGUAGGAUGAGGCAUUUUGAGUUUUAAUAAUAUUUUUUAUGUAUAUUAUACUUUUUUGUUUUGGGCAGAAAUCGAUUGCAAAUGGAAUUUCUUUUCUUCUAUAUUUCUAAUUAUGUUCUUUCUUUUUCUAUUGUAAAAUAUUUCGCCGCCACGCCACCUUCCCAUUUUUUCCCUUAUUUGUUUGUUUCUUUUAUUUAAUUCUUGUUGAAUUAUUAGAUGUAUGUAAAUUUCAGGUAAAACCGAAUUAAUUUGGUUAACGGACUGAAUUCAAUUAAUCAAACGGUUAAUCGAAUUAAUUCAGUCAGAAAUUAAUUAAUAAUUUUUUGAAAGUUUAGUUAACGGUUAAUUAGAUAAUUAUUGAAGUGAACAAAGACAAAAUGGAAACCCAGGGACUAUAAUAGAAAGAAAGAGAGAUGGAUUCUGUGUAAUUAGUGAAAGUUGAAGAAGUUGGCACAAAGGUUUUUUUUAGCAUCCAAUAAUUCAGGCUAUCACUUGGAAGACAUUGGAUUAUGAUAAAGAAGAUGGACCCCAAGUGGCUGUUGAUGGGAAAAGACAAUGAAAGUGGAAAUUAAAGAGGUCCCAGUCCAUUAAAUUAUUGCACCCUCCCAUUUUUUCUGUCCCCGCAGUUAAUUUGUAUAGCUUUUCUUUUAGGCAUAAUGAUCACUCCUAAUUUGCAUAAAAAAUAAUUUUAACUCUUAAAUUUAUUUUACUACCAAACCACUCUAAAAUAGACCCACAUACAUGUGAAUUAUCAUCUAGAAGAUACAUCAACAUCUAAUUGAUUUUGAAUUUUUUUUUAAAAUUUAUUUUUUAACAAUAAAUUUUAAUUUUAAAAAAAAGUUUUUGUAGUUUUUUUAUUUUUAAAAUUUUUAAAAAAAUAAUUAAGUGAACGUUAGUAAAGUUAAAAAAGUUACAAAUUUAAGGGCUAAAAAAUAAAAAUUUAAAUAGAGAACUAAAAUAAUUUUUUUUAGUUGAAAAGUUAAAUAAACUAUUAUGUCUUUCUUUUAUUGGACCAAAAUGAAUUAAAGUGUCUGUAAUUCUGAAAUGGAUGGACUUAGUAUUUGGAUACAUUAUUAUUUUUACUGGAGAUCAGGAAUAGAUGGAUUUUUCAUGGGCCCAUUUAACUGAUAGGUUUUAUUACCACUUUAGCAACUUUGGUGAUUUAGUCAGUUACUCGAGAUUCGUAAUUAUUUUAUUUAUUGAUGCUAGCAAUGUACAGUGGUCAAAUAGGAUCAUUUCUUCUUAAAACCUUUUAUUUUUUUCAUCAUGUGGGAGUUUGAAUUAAUUCUCAUUUAUCUACUUCUAUCCAUGAUGGGGAAGAAACGUCUAUACUCGGCUACAAAAUUUAUUUUGUACACUGCAGGCGGUUCGGUUUUUCUAUUAAUAGGAGUUUUGCAUCCCAGUUUAUACGGUUCUAAUGAACCAACAUUAAAUUUUGAAAUAUUAAAUAAUCAAUCAUAUCCUAUAUUGAAUUUCUUAUUACUUUUGCUCUCAAAUCGUUGAUUAUAUACUCUUACAUACAUGGUACUAUAUAAAAAAAUUCAAUAAAUAAAAAAUGAAUAAAAUUAUUAAAUAUUAAAAUAAUAUAAUAUAAAUAUUUAAAAAAAUUAAAAAUAAUAUGGACAUGGCUAAAAUAGGUUUGGAUUAAUAUUUUGUAAAUAUAGGCAGGCUUGAGCAACAUUUUAGGAUCAAAUUUCGGGCUGGGUCGGGCUUAGAUAAACAUAAAGUAUAUUAAUAUCAUAUUUAGACCCAACCAGCCCAUGAAUAUAUCUAGUAACAGGGACCUUUGUUUUUGAAUUUUGUCAUAGCUUUUGUCCAUUGUCCCUAUUUCCAAGUAAAAUGAACGUUGAGCUCCAUGUCAAUGGCAUCAAAAUAAUUAUUUCCAUUAACAUCAAAAAUUUCCAUGUCAUGCCUAUCUAUAUCGUGUUGUGCAUGUAUUGUGUGUGAGCUUUUUUUUCGCCCUGUUUUUGAAGAAUCAUGUUGGUGCUUCCUAGUAUUUUAAGUAAUGGGUGGAGACAGAAAAAUUGAAGUGGAGUAGUAACUUGGAAGAAGCCAUGUUAGUUGGACCAGUUUUUUUUCUUUAAUGGCUUGGAUUAUAUGGAAUUCAUUUUACAAAGAGUUGAGCUUUUAUUAAUGGGAAGCAACCAUGGUGGUUGGUUCCGCACCAUGGUUUCAGUUGUACCUGCCAGUGCCACUGUUCCAGUGAUACAGCACAACAACAAGGAAUACAUUUUUCCACAUCGGUGAAAAUUUCAGUCUGUUCUGUUUACAUUGGCUCAUUUCGAUCAAUUCAAGUUGCACCGACCGAAACAUGAUGCAUUGGCUGUUACAUGAAUAAUUUAAAAAAUGUAAGUUUUUAAUACCUAGCAAUAAUAAUUAACUAGAGACCAACAUUUGUUUUUACAAUCUCGAAAUGUCAAAAACAAUACUCUAUACAAAACAUCAUCAAUGGAGGACUAAGACAGGUUCAUGAUUUGUGUAGAUAGAAAUAGAUUACACUAAAAGCAUUAGAAAAAGAACUUAUCACUCCAUUCCUUUUGUCAACAUCUGUCGACCAAAGAAGUGCUGUUGUUGUGCCCAUAAGCAGGUAUUCUCCUCUUUGGAUACCCACCAUUCAAGGUUUUUCACCCAAAGGUACGUACACCUCCCCAGUGGUACCAUUUGGCCUUUUUUAUCUGCCACCAAUUUCAUGGUUCCCAAAGCUGAAUGAAAGUACAAGGCUAAAUAAAUAACAUAUUUGACUCCUCAACCACAACUAUGUACCAAGCACCAAAAUAUGCUCCAACAUAGGAAUUGAAUCGACUUACUCCCUAUACUGCCAUUUUUUUUUAUCCUUUCACAAAAUAAAUAGUGAAAUGUCAAAUAUUUGAGGUAAUGGGUGGAGAUAUAGAAAAAUUGAAAUGGAGACUUAACUUGGAAGAGGCCAUGUUGGCUGGACCUGUUUUUUUUUUUUCAAUCAUAUUUUAACAUUUUACAAAUAUUUCUUUAAUGGCUUGGAUUAUAUGAAAUUUGUUUUUACAAAGAGUUGAGUUUUUUUAAUGAGAAGCAACCAUGGUGAUCUGUUCCGCACCAUGGUUUCAGUCGUACCGAUUGGUGACACCAUUUUAGUGCUAUAGCGCAUCCAGCAACACCCUCUUUCAUAUCGGUGAAAAAUUCAGUCCAUACCGUUCGCACUGGUUCGUUUCAGUCAAUUUCAAUCACACCGGCUGGAACAUGGUACACCAGCUGCUAUAUGAAUAAUAUUAAAAAAAUAUAAAACUUUUAACUAUUUUCUAUUAGACUAAUAACUUAAUUCGAAUGUAUUGACCAAUAAAAAAAAUAUUACACUAAAAAGUAAAGUUUAAUAUUUAAAUUUUGUUCUGGAAUAUAUUUUUACAUUAAAAAUGCAAAAAUUAAAAUAUAAUAAAAAAUCCACUCACUUCAUUAUCAUAGAAAAAUCUUAGCUCAUCCUUCAACUUCUUUUAUUGAAAAAAUCCCUUCUUUUUUCUUGUUAUUUUUUAAUUUAUUGAAUGAUGAGUUUUUUAUUUGUAGAGUUUAUUAAUCAAUAUUUUAUAUAAUUGAUGAAUAUUUUACAUUGGAAAUGUAUUCAGAAUCAUUUAUUUGGUAUUUGUAUAUUUAUUUAUAUAGAUAUAAAAUAUCGAUAAAUUCAAAACCAUAUAUCAAAAUAGACUAAUACCAGUAUGUACCAAUUCCAGUAGAAAAGUGGUACAUUUACCGGUUUGGUGUUGACUACCUUGAAAGCAAUUAUGUGGCAGAGUUGUUUGAAAGGAAAUGAGUAAAAGCGUGUUGAGAUAUUAUUUUAGGUGGCUGAAAUGUUUGAUACUUUGUUUUCUUUUGAGUAUUUUGGUUUGAUGCUUUUGAUUUGUGUUGAUAUUUGAGUGUAAUCAUUGAGAUAUAUAUGAUUAUCUCUUUUUUUUUUUAUGAUUUGUUUUGUAUUUACUGUAGUUAUUUUAUUAAUAAAAUUAUGUUUCGAGUUGAGAAAAAAAACUAAGAAAUUCAAAACACAAAAAUAAAAGUAGAGAAAGUGAACACAAUAAUUUACGUGGUUCGGAAUAUUUCCUACAUCCACAGGUAAAACCAAAAAUAAAAUUCACUAUUAAAAAAUAGAGAUUACAAUGGAAUUACAUAAUAAAAUAAAAUAACUCACCACAAUAACUAUCCACAAACUUUGAGCAAUCUUCUAAAUAAGCAUCAACUAUACACUUUUCACAAAUUGAAAAAUACCUGGCAAUAAUAAAUAACAAGUGGCCAACAAUCACAAAAUGUCAAAAACAAUACUUUAUUUAAAACAUCCUAACCUCUUAUCAAUCAUCAAUGGAGACCUAAGAUAGGUUGAUGAUUUGCGUAGAUAGAAAUAGAUGAUGCUAAAAGCAUUACAAAAAAAAAACUUACCACUCCAUUCCUUUUGUCAACAUCUGUCGACCAACGACGUUGUGCUGUUGUUGUGCCCAUAAGCAGGUAUUGCCCUCUUUGGAUGCCCUCCAUUCAAGGGUUUAUCACCCAAAGAUACGUACACCUCCCCAGUGGUACCAUUUGGCCUUUUAUCUGCCACCAUAUUUGGCUCCUCAACUACAACUUUGUACCAAGCACCAAAAUAUGAUCCAACACAGGAAAGGAAUGUCAGAAGAACAAAUUCUCCAUAUAACCUAUACUUGUCCUAUCAUAAACAUUGAUAACAUCACAGUUGAAGCCUUUCAAAGCAGGGAAAUUCAUAUAAAGAUUGGUAGAAAAUAUGCCAAUCUACCGGACCGGAAAGCUGAAAAGCAACAUUAAAAGAGAGCUGCAAUGAAACUAGUUCCAAACUGCUGCAGUAUAUAUAUCAUUUGGUUCAUUUAACUCAUACCUCAAAGCCAAAAGCAAGAGUCGAUAUAUAGUGAGUCACUUAGUCACUGCUAUUUUUGGGAACACUCAGGCUGGAAGUGAAAACCCCAUAUUGCAGCUCAGUGAACUCUGUUGUGUUUAUGUUAAAUUGAGCUCUCUAAUGCCAUGUUGUAACGUGUACUGUAUCCCUCCAUUCAUCCUGCAAGGAUCAAUACCAUGUCUACAGUGAUGACGAAAUCUGUUGGCACUGAUAUCCUUAUGCAAUAACAGAAAUCUAUUCACAAAGAUCAACAAACUAUCACGUAGAAGACUUGUUCUUCUGAAACACCAUUGGUUAAUAGUACAAUGAAAUCUCAAAUACUCUUAAAUAAAAUCCCAUUCCCAUAUACCAAUUUCAUAGCAACUGCUUAGAAAUUAGAAGAUGCAGAUGAAAACAGAACAUUCAAUUUGCUGAAUAAAUGUUGCAGAGAAUUGACUAACCGCUUUAUUAAAUCAAAUAAGCUGAAGCAGACCAGUUGAAGGUCUCCUCUAUUUUUUGCCAGUUUAGUCUUCAAUGCCUGCAAAAAGUAAAUACAAAAUAUAUAACACUGAUUUUCAUUAUCGUGUUGUUCAUGAGGACAAUCAGAUAUAUAUAAAGAAAAGGUAUGAAAUUGAUAAAUGUUUAAAAUGCGUUUCACACCUGUGGUUUGACUGUAGAGAAAUCGAUGUUAGAUUUUGCUGCUUAAAUUUCAAUUUAAUUCCCUCGGGAUGACUGUUUUAAAAUCAAUUUGAACAUAAGGUAUGUGGGCAAUCUUGGACCACUCUCGUCCUUUUCCCCUACUGCACCCUUCUUCUACCAACGGGCAAUUGGAAAUAUAUAGCCACUCUAGCGAGAGAAGCAUAUCUUUUUCCGGAAGAGAUGUGAGCUUAGGACAAUCACAGAUUCGCAAUUCUUGAAGAGAGGUCAGGUAUUGAAAGCCCUUGGAGCACAUGAAUUCCAAAUUCUCAAAAUUUUCAAUGGAAAUAGAUGUGAGAGAAGGAGGCAGCCUCAUUCCUAUCCCUUCUUCUGGAAACGACACCACAUUUGAGCGUCCUUCACCGCUGAUUUUGAGUUUUUGAAGAAAUGUGAGUCUGUUAAAUCCCCAUUCAACAAGUGAUGUAUAAAUUUUGGGUGCGUUUGAGAUUGCAAGUGAUGUGAGGUUGGUAGGGAAACCCUCUUCUGGAAAGGAUAUGUCAGCCGAACACUCCCACACCUUUAAUUCUCGAAGGGAGGUGAAGUUGUUGAUGCACUUGGGAAGGGCACUAAAAUUUUCACAAUCCUCAAUUGAGAGAACUCUGAGAUUUGUGGUGGGCAACCCACUUUCUUCAAAUGAAACCAUAUUCGGACACCCAGAUAAUUGAAUCUCCUGAAGAUGGUUGAGCUUGUCUAAUCCCCGCGGUAAUGCUUUAAUUUUUUCAGCACCACGAAUGCCAAUGCUUUCGAGAUCAAUGGUUUCAAGGAAGUCUUGGGCUAUGCAUUCCAACACUGGACAAUCCCGAAUAAAUAGCUGUUUAAGCAUUACGGGUAACUUGGCGUUUAAAAAUAACCUACUUAGCUUUGGACAAUGGAAAAUAUUGAGACGUUGAAGCCGAUUGCAUAUAUAGCCCCUUGAUGAAAACCAUAUUAGAGAUGGACAGUAGCUUAUUUCCAAGCGCUCAAGAAGACAAGUGUUGCUCCUCAUACUCUUAUUAUUAUUUUCUUUUUCAUCAACCAAAUAUUGCAAAUUCACGCAAGUCCAAAUCCUCAGCUCUUUUAAAGCAGGAGGAAAGUUACUCUCUGCAAAACAAACCAAGCCUGGACAGUUUUGAAGUUGUAUUCUUGUAAUCAAUGGGAAGGCAUGUAAGGCUUCUGGUAGUCUGAGCCUUUCACAAUUAUAUAUUAGAAGAGAUUCAACACCUGGAAUCUUGUCAAGUUGCAAUCUCUCCUCUGUUUCCAAAGAGACCAAUUCGGGACAACCCGCAAUCGUAAUAAAACGAUGCCCGACUAAUCUGAACCCAAUUUGCGAUAAAGAUCCCAACUCCUUCCAACCAGAGAUGUAGAAUGUUUCGGAGUUUGCAAAUCUCAACAUUAUCCUCUCUGCUGAAAUAUUAAAAUUUGAAAUAUUUGAAACAGACACACCUUUCAAGGAGGUAACCUUCUGUACAGACAAAGAACCUUCAUCCACCAAUUCUUCACACCCUUCAACCCUUAAUUCACACAGCAAGGGAAAACUUGAAAUUGUAACUACCAGUCUCUUACACUCAUAGAUUUCAAGUGUCUGCAAGGAUUGAAGGAUGGUUGGCAACCUUCCCAGCAAUAGAGGACAUUUUCCGAUUUUAAGAAAACGAAGACUGGGGAAUUUCGAUACUUGCUCAUCAUCUUCACAUAGGUCCCACUCCUCCCAAUUCAGCAUAUUGUCAAAACACAAAGACUCUAAUGAUGCAAAAGCAUUUGAUUGAUUUUCUCCAAACAACUCAGCACCAAUCUUGUGUAUUUGAUCCAAACCACUAAUUGAAAGAUCUUUUAACAACAACAACCUUCCAAUCGAUGGUAGAGAUUUGCAAUUUUUACAAUUGCGAAGCUCCAAUGACAACAUAUUUUCGAAGGAAGAAUCUGCAAUCCAAGUAGAGAAUUUUGCACCACCAUAAUUCUGAAUGACGAGUUUCUUAAGCUUUUUUGGAGGACGAAGAGAGUCCAACACCCAUUCUUCAACUUCUUUAUUCCUUGAAGCCUUUUCAAACUUUUCACUCCAAUGAAAUACCAAUCGAUGAAUCCCCUGCUUCUCAUUUAACUUGGCUUCCCCUGCAUCUUCACCAUUAACAUUCUCCAACCCAGAAAGACGGAAAUGACCUCUGAGGUUUGACAAAUAUUUCAAACCUCUAAUAUAACUACCAUCACCUUCCCCUAUUAUAAAAUCAGUUAACCUUUGAAGUUUCGUUAGCUUAUCAUUUCUAAAAGGAAUCCUUUCUAUUAAGUAGGCACCUCUGAUUCCAAGAUAAUGCAAGUUGACAAGAUUUUCCAUCUUUGAAGGUAACCUUUGAAGCUUCGAACACCGUCUCAAUAAUAAAGUUUCCAAAUGGUAAAGAGCGCACAAAGAAUCAGGUAAGCAUUUGAUGUCAGUGUCAGAAAAAUUUAAGUAGCGAAGCUGUUUUAAAUUUUCAAAAACAUCAGGCAACUCAGUGAUUUUAUACCCACUCAAAGAAAGCAUCCUUAAGUAGCCAAGUCUUGGUAACAAAUCAACCAAAACAACAUUAGUUAAAUAAUGCCGCCAAUAAUCACUAGAAAACGUUAAGGGUAAAAAAGUACGUAAAGAAUUCACUUGAUCAAAUGCUUCAAACUUCUUCACUGUGUCAUAUCUUCCAGCAAUAUAAGAAGAAUGUCGAGUGCGAUUUGAGAACUUCCAUUUCUUAUCACCCUCUAAUUUUGAGCAUAUUUCCCCUGCAACUACUUGAGCUAAAUCAUUGAUAAGGUCAUGCAUUACGAAUCGGGACUUAUCUUUACUGGAUGCCUGAAAAAAUGACCUCGACACUAGAUCUUGAAAAUAUUGAUUUCCGAGAUCUUUAAUUUGAGGCAUAGCUUUUUGUUGCAAGAGACCUUCUGCUCUCCAUAACAAGAUAAUUUCUUCUUCCCCAAAUUCAUAAUCUUUAGGAAGUAUGGAGCAAUAUGCAAAACACCGUUUCAAGUAUGACGGAAGAUGAUGGUAGCUUAACCGCAAAGCUGGAAUUAUGCCACACUGCUCUUCUGGUAAGUUCCAUAUCUCACUCUCAUAUAUUCUUUCCCAUUUUCCAUGAUAUUUAACCGUGCGAAGCAAGCUUCCAAUGGCUUUUGCAGCCAAAGGUAAGCCAUUGCACCUUCUAACAAUUUUCUCUCCAAUUUCUUUAAACUGGAGAUGUCCAUUAAAAUUUCUGGCUUUUAAUGCAUGCUGUGUACAUAUGGAUAAACAAUCAUCAUCCGAUAAUUUAUCCAAAUGAAAAGCUUUGAGCGGAUCCACAAUAGAUGAAACAAUUUGAAGACGAGUGGUUACAAUGAUACUGGUCCCUGGUCCAAACGGAGACCGUAAGAUGGUCCAAUCAUUAUAACUCUCGUUCCAAAUGUCAUCUAAAACAAGCAAGAAUCUUUUCCCACACAACUUCUCCUUCAACUUAACUUGAAGUAAAUUCAAGUCAUCCUCGUCACGAGAGUCAGGAUCGAUGGAUUUUAAAAUUGUCCUGGUUAUAUUAACUGCGUCAAAAUGAUCAGAAACGCAUACCCAGGCCUUGUGGUGAAAAGACUGGUUGAUGGUGGCAUCAUUGUAAACAAGCUGAGCAAGAGUUGUUUUACCCAUCCCUCCCAUGCCGACGAUGGAAAGGACUGAAACUCCGUUGGAGUUAUCACCUUUGAGAAACUCAAUCAUUUCUGUCUUCUCCUUGUGUCUGCCAACAUAAUCCACAACUCCAUCCAGUACGGAAGUUGGUUGCAGCCUAGGUUGCUUUCCCUUGGAGGUUGGAGCUUGAGACAAGAUCUCACUCAACCCCAAACUACUUCUUCGAGUAGUCAAACUAUUCAGUCUAGCAGUGAUCUCUUUCACCUUUGGAAUCAUGGAAUUCUGAAACAGGAAAGAAGUGGGAGGGAAAAUACUACGAAUAAUCCUUUCAGGAAUGAAUUUCCGUAUCUUACUAGGUCUGGCUUGAGCUUGAGUGUCUUGGAGAUUGAGGCGUAACUUUUCAUAAGCGAACUCGUCCAAGAUGUCAUCCACAUCGUAUGCCAAGUCCUGGAGAUCCUCCAACCAUUUCUUCACAGCCAUGUUCUUGAUCUGCUUCCCCUCUGCAUCGUCCAACACUGCUUGGAUAUCAGGCAAUAUGGACUGCCACUGCUUGAGCUGCUGGUGGAGUUGGUAGUGAUCAGCAACAAAGUUGAGUGCAGAGUCAAGCGAUUUGCCCACCAACAGGUCCAGGAACCCAGAAAGAGCAGCCUCUCCAAUGACAGACAUGGUGGAAUUGUGAGAAAUAAGGUGACAAGAGAAAUGAGCAAAGCCAAAAUGGAAAGUCAGGGAACAAAAAAGAAAUGAGUUGGAAGUCUUUUGGUGUUAAUGGGGAAGGAAAAAUGGAAAUGAUGGGACCUUUGCUUUUGAAUUUUGAUGCUCUUCUUUUCUCUUGCUUUUGGUCAUUUUCCUAAAUUGACCUUCACCGUAUAUGUAAUUUAAUUAAACAUCAAAAUAUUAUAUUUCUCACAACUUUAUCGCCAAAAUAUAGCAAACACCAAUACUCAAAAUUUUUGAAUCCCAAAUAUUUACAGUAUUUAGCAUAUAGAAAACAAAAUUCCGAAAUUAAAUAAUAAUUUUUAUGAUUUUACCAUUUUAAUAGUUUAUAUCUUUAUAAAAUUUAAAAGAUUAAAUCAGAUUUUUAUCAUAUUUAGGGGAGUAAAGUGUAAUUUUAUAUUUACUAAUUUAAAAUUUUAAAAUAUUCAAAGAGCUUAAAUGAAAAAAUUUUUAUUUUAGAGGACCAUGCCAACCCCCUAGCUACACCCGAGAUUGAUUGUAGCUAUAUUGUUAAUUGAUUUACUAUUUUACUAUUUAUACUAUUAUUUAAGCUUAUGACUAGUUGAUGUCACGAGUUAAUAAAGUACCAACUUGGUUAAAGAAAAUAUGAAAAUGUCACUCUAGUCUUUUUAUUAAAAAUAAAAAUAAAAAUAUGUGCAUAUAAUGAGAUUUUGAACCCAUAUCAAUUACAUUAAUAGAAUUAUUAAUUUACCACUCAACUAAAACUUUAAUAUUUUUAUACAUUUUAAUUUUAUUGUGCACACUUUAUUGUUAAUUAAUUUCAAACAUUAUGCUUUAAUUAUUUAUUGUAUGUUAUAUUCAAACGCACACUUAUAUUCUAAAUAUAUGAUUCUCAAAUAUACAUGUGUGAUAAGUAUACUAAUUGUAACCUAUCUUACUAAUUGUUGUACUAAUUUAUGAUUUGCUUUCUUACUAGCUAGAUCUGUUAGCCAAACUCAAAUUACCUUCCUUUUAGAUCAAUUAAUUGACUUAAACCUAACUCAAUUACAUUUCUUUCUAGAGUGAUUAACCAAAAUAAUCGACCGAACCGAUUAAACGAGAUUGUUUCUAUUAUUAUAUUUAUGAAAUCGUGAUCGUUUAGUUAUUGGUAUUUUUUGUUGGGGUUAGCUUAAUUUAAUUUUCAAUUUUUCUAAACUAAAAUUUACAUCUAGAUUUGAUGAUGAUUGCUUGUCCACAGUCCAUGGGUUUCAAUUAUACCAACCUAUUCAAUCUUCUUUUUUCCCUAAUGCAUGUGAGGUCUCUUUUUCUUUUCCUUAGCAAAGUAUUUAGGGUCUCUCUUUUUUUUCAAAGUAAUCUUUAUCUUUAAUAAAAUAAUUUAAAAACCCUAAUCACUUUCCCAUAAUUGAUGGAACUUACAAGUAUAAUUAACAAAAAAAAAAAUACAAUUACAAAUACUUUAUGUCUGGCCAACUAGCUAGAAUCAACUUAGUAUAUAAUACAAAAAGAUUAAAAUCUAAUCAAAUACAAACAAAUAACAUUACGAGUGAAAUAUAGGAAAGAACUCACACAUGAUAUUUACAUAUUAUGAAACUCAAAUUUGGGCACUCGAGGCCCAACUUUGCCAACACCAACAAACCUCAUUGGCUCAUAAGUAAAUAUUUUAAUGUAUAGCUAAUUCAUUACUGAAUCAGUACUCUAGAAAUUAGUUAUUCUUGAGUUGAAAGAUUAGUAUGUAUGACAAAUUUAUAUAGUUUUAGAGAAGAAGAUGGAAGAUGGCCAAAUAGAAAGGACCAUUGCAAGGAUGAUAGUGAAGUUCCAGUUCCUACUCAAUUUCUGGUAUUAAAGAUGAUAGACAAUGUGGAAGGGAAACUAUUGAACAGGUCAUAUUGAAGAAAUAGCAGGGUGAUUAUAACCAAAGUGUAUUAAGGGUGGGACCUUGGCUUUUGAAUUUUGAUGAAAUCUCUCUGCCAUUUCUGAAAUUCCAAUUUUCCUUUAAGGAAAACGAUGACGACGAUGCCAAUCUAAUUCCCAUUCAAUUAAACCCUGAUCUCGAUCACAAUGCCAUCUAAUGCCCAUAUAUCAAUUUAUUAUUUCCAUUCACUUUAAAGCCUAUUGUAGUUUUGGUUCAAUUUAAUAUUGCCAUUAAACAUCAUGAUUAAUUGACACAAUUAAUAUAGCAACCACACACAUGUCCUACUUUCUUUUUGGGUUGAAAACAUCACUGUAAAUGCAAAAGGAGAGAAGGUGAAGCCUUUCAAAUUCUCCACAUGCCAAAUGGUGCUGACAUGUCAGAUGGGCUGAUGUGGCAUACUAUGUUAGAAAAAUUAUAAAAAUAUUUUAAAAUUAAUAAAACAUAUAAAUACAUCUAGAAUGAAUUUAUCCAAAUUCAAAUGAAUUUGGACAAAAGAAUAUAGCCUUUAUACCAAAGCAAUUAGUUUUAUAUUAGAGGUAUUAGAGUUUAGGUUCUAUUUUGUUAAUCUACUCAUACAUGUUAUCUAUUAUGUUAAUUUUGUCUCAAAUUCGAAAAUAAUUGGUGCUUAAAAUGAUUCAAACCCAAGAUGACAUAAAUUUGAGAUGACCUUAUUUGAAAAACUUGAAUGGCAAACUCAAAUGGUCAUAACCCAAAAUAGCUCAAACAUGAAACAACUUAAACCCAAAAUUGACCCGAACCAUAAUGACUCUCUAUUUAUAGCAUUAACAAAAAGGAAAAAUAGUAAAUAUGCAAGGGCAAAAGAGUAAAAACCGUAGGGUUGCCCCUUCCGCGCAACAGUAAAAUAUAUAUUUUGUUGCCAAAUUUUUUGCAACCGUCAAAAAUUGAAAAAUAUUUUAAAGAAAUUAUUUUCUGGAAAAUAAUAUUGAUUAAAAUUAGAGAUAAAUUAUGGAUGAAAAUAUUGAAUUAUUUCAAAUGAUGAAGAGCAACUUUAAUAAUGUAGAGGGACUGGAUUGGUGUACCGAGGAUGAUGCUUUGAAGGCUACUCUCAGAAGAGUCGAUCUGUAGCUCAAGUGGUACCAUACACCUCAACAAUUGACCUAUAUUCAAUAGAUUAAGGGUUUGAAUCUCAUCAAGGGUGAGACUCUCAUGUCGCCUCUUAGUGGUGAUCACAAGUCCACAUACGGUUAAGGCACCCCUUUUUGUGAGUAGUACAUGGCUCUCCACGGAGUGGGGGACAAAACCCUCUCACAGGGGACAAUACCUUCUGUUGUUGAGAGACUGGAUCGGCAUCCCCAAAGACGACACUUCAAAGACUUCUCUCGAAUAAGCCGUCCCCAUUAACAAAUAAAUAAUUACUCUACACAACCGUAUUCUAUCUUUUAAAAUUAUUAUUUUGUCCCUUAAGAUAUCCAUUAAUCUUUUUAUGUAUUUCUAAUAUACAUGCUAUAUAUAUAGUAAAAUGAAUAUAUAUAUAAUCUACACUAAAUAUGAGAAGAUUAUAAAUAUAAUAAUCUAUAAUUAUUAUUUAUUUAUGCCUUUUUCCAACUACGUCGCUCUGAUUUUUUUUUUUAAUUUCUUUUUCAUUUUUUGAUCAGUCCUAUUUUAUGCAAAUUCAGAUGUGUAUAUGAAGAUAUAAAUUCAUAUAUUAUUUAUCAGUCACAUUCAAAUUCAAUUAACAUAAACUUGAAGAUUCAUUUCUAACUCAUUAGUUAUUAUUUGUAAUUUCCUCUUCAUUUUCUUUCCCAUUUUCGAUUGUGUAACACGCAUGUAUCUGGAUGAAAAAACAGCUUAGUUGAAAUGACAAAGUUAAGACUUUGAAGAUAUGAGUAUCCUAAUAAUUUAUUUUGGAUUUAAACUAUCUUUUUUAUAGAUUUUAUAUAAACACAUAAAUAAAAAGACAAAAAGCAAACUCAUAAUAUUAUUUGUACCUUUUAAAUAGAAGCCACUUUUUUUAAGUUAUUUUUUAACUAAAUUGAUCUUUAGUUAAACUUGUGACUCCAACUCAAUUAGAUAAUUAAAUAUAGUAUAAAUAACAAAAAAUGGAAUUGAAAUUGACAUACACGUAUGUUGUGUGUAGCCUUAAAUACUCCUCUUUCAUGGUGUUCACCUCAAUUCAGGGGCGGAGCUUUAAAAAAAAUCAGAGGAGGUUGAAAUAAAGUUGUAUAUUUUUACGAUGCAAAAAUGAAAUUUCCCUAUUUUAAUAACUUAUAUCUUUAUAAUUUUUAAAGGAUUAUAUCAAUUUUUUCUCAUUCUUGAGGGGGUCAAAGUAUAAUUUUGCCACAUACUAAUUUAAAAAAUUUUAAAUUAUAAAUGAACUAAAGGUGAAAUUUUCCAAUUUAGGGGGGAUCGGGCCCCCUGCCAGCCCCCUUGGCUCCACCCCUGCCUCAAUUCCUUGCAACUUCUGCUUAUUUAACAAAAAAAAAAUUAGAAAUGUAAUUAUUAUUGUCGACUGAGUCUUAACUCAGUUGGUAUCAACAAUAUUAAAAAAAAUUUUGGAACAUGCUUUUUCAUUUAAGAUAUAAAUUAAAAUAUAAUAAAAAAAACUCACUCACCUCAUUAUCAUAGAAAAAUCUUCACUCGCCUUUCAACUUUUUUUUUAUUGAAAAAACCCCUCAUCCUUCGACUUCUUUUUUACUUCUUAAUUUUGAAUUUAUUGAAUGAUGAAUUUUUAUUUGUGAAGUUUAUUAAUCAAUAUUUUAUAUAAUUGAUAAAUAUUUUUAUAUUUAAAUUUUAUUUAUAUAUUAAAUAUUUUAAAAAUAUCGAUAACUUCGAAAUAGUACAUGAAAUAAACUAGUACUAAUACGUACCGAUUUUCAUAGAAAAGUGGUGCAUCCACCAAUGUGGUAAUGGCUACCUUGAAAGCAACUAUGUGGCAUACUUGUUUGCAAAUAAAUGGGUUAAACCAUGCUGAGUUAGUAUUGUGGGUAGCUAUACACAUAAAAUAAAAUAAAAUACCUCGCCAAUAAUUAUCCCCAAACUUGGAGCAAUUUUCUAAAUGCACAUCAGCUAUACACUUUCCGCGUUUUGAGAAAUACCUGGCAAUAAUAAAUAACAAGUGACCAACAAUCUCAAAAUGUCAAAAACAAUACUUUAUUUAAAGCAUCCUAGCCUCUUAUCAAUCAUCAAUGGAGACCUAAGACAGAUUCAAGAUUUGUUUAGAUAGAAAUAGUUGAUACUAAAAGCAUUAGAAACCAAACUUACCACGUUGUGCGGUUGUUGUGCCCAUGAGCUGGUAUUGCCCUCUUUGGAUGCCCACCAUUCAAGGGUUUAUCACCCAAAGGUACGUACACCUCCCCAGUGGUACUAUUUGGCCUUUUAUCUGCCACCAAUUUCAUGGUUCCCAAAGCUGAACGAGAGUACAAGGCUAAAUAAAUAACAUAUUUGGCUCCUCGACUACAACUAUAUACCAAGCACCAAAAUAUGCUCCAACACAGGCAAGGAAUGUCAGAACAACAAAUUCUCCAUAUAACCUAUACUUACCCUAUCAUAAACAUUGAUAACAUCACAGUUGAAGCCUUUCAAAGCAGGGGAAAUUCAUAAAAAGAUUGACAGAAAAUAUGCCUAUCUACCCGACCGGAAAGCUGAAAAGCAACAUUAAAAAAUAGCUGCAAUGAAACUAGUUCCAAACUUCUACGUAUAUAUAUCGUUUGAUUCAUUUAACUCGUACCACAAAGUCAAAAGCAAAAGAGUCGAGAUAUAGUGAGUCACUUAGUCACUGCUAUUUUUGGCUAGAAAAUAAAGUAUUUUGUACCUCUAAGUAAAAGCGAAAUAAAUAAAGUCACAUAGUCAAUCACUUACACAGUGAGUUUGUUUUUGUCGCUCAAUCCACAUGACCAAAGAAGCAAUUCCUCAUCCAAGUGAAUUGAUGCAGCCUUUGAAUUGGUUCAUGAUCUGAGAAAUUCGAAAAACUAAGGACAUCUUUGAGAUUGGACAGAACAAUAUUUUGGGAACUCUGCUGUCUUACAUGUGUUAAAUUGAGCUCUCUAAUGCCAUGUUGUAACGUGUCCUGUAUCCCUGCAUUAAUCCUGGAAGGAUCAAACUAUCACGUAAAAGACUUGUUCUUCUGAAAAACCAUUGGUUAAUAGUAAUACGAAAUGUCAAAUAUUUUGAACUAAAAUCCCAUUCUCAUAUACCGAAAUAGCUUAGAAAUUAGAAGAUGCAAAUGAAAACAGAACAUCUAAUUUGCUGAAUAAAUGUUGCAGAGAAUUGACUAACCGCUUUACUAAAUAAAUAAGCUGAAGCAGAUGAGUUGAAUUUGAAGCCGAUUGCAUACAUCGCCCCUUGAUGAUAACCAUAUUAGAGAUGGACAGCUUCUUAUUACUAAGUGCUUAAGAAAACAAGUGUUGCUACUCAUACUCUUAUUAUUAUUUUCUUUUUCAUCAACCAAAUAUUGCAAAUUCACGCAAUUCUCAAUACUCAGCUCUUUUAAAGCAGGAGGAAAAGUUACUCUCUGCAAAACAAACCAAGCCUGGACACUUUUCAAGUUCUAUUGUCGUAAUGAAUGGGAAAAUGGGAAAGCAUGUAAGACGUUCGGUAGUCUAUUGAGCCUUUCACAAGCCCUUAUCUCCAGAGAUUCAACACCUGGAAUCUUGUCAAGUUGCAAUAUCUCCUCCUCCGUUUCCAAAGAGACCAAUUGCAGACAAUUCCUAAUCGCGAUGAAAGAUGCCCAACUAUGCUUAACCCAUUUUGCGAUGAAGAUCCCAACUCCUUCCAACCAUAGAUGUUCAAUGUUUCAGAGUUUGCAAAUCUCAACAUUAUCCUCUCUGCUGAAAUAUUAAACUUUGAAAUAUUUGAAAGAUACACGUAUUUCAAAGAGGUAACCUUCUGUACAGACAAAGAACCUUCAUCCACCAAUUCUUCACACCCUUUAUCGCUUAAUUCACACAGCAAGGGAAAACUUGAAAUUGAAACUAGCAGUCUCUUACACUCAUAGAUUUCAAGUCUCUGCAAGGAUUGAAGGAUGGUUGGCAACCUUCCCAACAAUAGAGGACAUUCUCUGAUUGAAAGAAAACGAAGGCUGGGGAAUUUCGAUACUUGCCCAUCAUCUUCAGAUAGGUCCCACUCCUCCCAAUUCAGCAUAUUGCCAAAACGCAGAAACUCUAAUGAUGCAAAAGCAUUUGAUUGAUUUUCUCCAAACAACUCAGCACCAAUCUUGUGUACUUGACCCAAACCGCUAAUUGAAAGAUCUUUUAACAACAACAACCUUCCAAUCGAUGGUAGAGAUUUGCAAUUUUUACAGUUGUGAAGCUCCAAUGACAACAUAUUCUUGAAGGAAGAAUCUGCAAUCCAAGUAGAGAAUUUUGCACCACCAUAAUUCUGAAUGACGAGUUGUUCAAGCUUUUUCGAAGGAUGAAGCGAGUCUAACACCCAUUCUUCAACUUUUUUUUUCCUUGUAUCUUUAGAUAAUGCAAGUUGACAAGAUUUCCCAUCUUUGAAGGUAGCCUUUGAAGCCUGGAACAAUUUUUUUAUAAUAAAGUUUCCAAAUGGUAGAGAGUGCACAAAAAAUCGGGAAGGCAUAUGAUAGGGGUGUGAGAAAAAUUUAAGUAGCGAAGAUGUUUUAAAUUUUCAAAAACAUCAGGCAACUCAGUGAUCCAACUCAAAUCUACCACCCUUAAGUAGCCAAGUCUUGACAACAGAUCAACCAAAACAACAUUAGUUAAAAAAGGCACCCAGAAUGACAUCUUUAAAUUUCCAAAAUUUCAUCCCAUUUUAAUUCUUUUUAAAAUGUAUAUUAUUUUUAAUUGAAUAUUUUAUUUUAUUUUGUUGGUGAAUUUUUUAUUAAAAUUUAAAUAUAUCUUUUAAUGUUACAUUAUAAUAUUAUAUAUUUAAUUUAAUUUAAUUUUAUAUAAAUUACAUUCUAUACAUAUAUGAUAGAGUAGAAAAUGAUUUGGGCUUAGCCAUUUUAAUUUUGGAGCCCAAGCAUGGCUCAUUUUAAACAAGCUUAAUUUUUUUUUGUCUAAACUUAUAUUUCAAGCCUCGUUCUUUUUAUCUAAACCCUUUCAUAUUUUAAGCUCAUUUAGAAUGAGUCUAUCUACAAAAGAAAAGCUUGUGAAAAGCGCAUAAUUAGUAAUUAGAAAUUGUCACACAUGUAAAAAUAUAAUAUAUUAUAUAUAAAUUUAAAUUUUAAAAAUAAUAUUUUAUAUAUAAAUUUUAUAUUUUUGAGAAAUAAUAAUAUUUUAAAAAAGAUGGAUAGAAUUUUUUUCUAAUAAUUAGAAAUUAGUGAAUAAUAAUGAGUAGUUUAGUUUUUGAGAAAAAAAAAAGAAAUAGUUUUAAUUGAGAAAAUGAAUUUAUAAGAAAUGUUGAAAUGAUGUAAUCAUCUCUAUAUUUAACAAAAUAAUAACAUUAGAUUUUUCAUGCUUUUACCAAUUGACUUUGUGUCACUCGAUUUGAUGUAUCAAAUUUAAUUAGACAUUUUAUCAUAGCAUAAAUAAUUAUCUUGUAAUUAUAUGUAUUUAAAUUAACUUAGUUUUUAAAUCCGUCACCAAUCUUUAUAUUUUUUCUCUCUUGUAAUUAUAUUUUUACAUAAUUUUUUUAUAAUAUAUGAUAUGAUCAUAAAUUAAACCCUUAAUUAUAGUUAUUAAGCUUGCAUUUUUUCCGUUAAAGUCAAGAAAUUAAUUUUUUAUUGGGAAACAUUUUUAUAUUAGUUAAUUAUGAGAAAUCAUUUUUAUGUGAAAGUGUGUUAAACUAAUUAUAUUAUAGAAAAGUAUAUUUAAUGAUAGGCUCAAUUUACAUGUUUAUUGUGCUUAAAUUUGAUAAAUUCUUUAAUGAGAUAUCACUAAUUUUGGGUUUAUUAUUUGAUUUUUGAUUAGGUGCAAAAGCAAACUUAGAAAGUAAAAAAGUCAGAAAUGCAAGUUGUCGUAAAAGUUUUGGGACAUGAUCUGUCCUUUUUUUGGUACAAUAACAUGACAAAACCCGAAUAACAAACACGACUAACGUGCCUCAAACCCAAAUCAUAUCUGGGAUAGUGAACAACCUUAAUCACAAAGCCAUUAUAUAGGGUUCGGAAAAGAAAGAGAGUAGUUUUAAUUUUUGGUUAGGAUAAUAUUUUAAUUUUCUAGUAUUUUAUCUUUUGAUAUAUUUUUAGAUAACACUUUAAUGUUGGAUUAGAUUAAAGAAUUUAAGUAGGAUUAGGCAUUUUGAGAUUUAUAUAUAGUCUAAAAGGGACAGCAAUUCAAUUGCUUUCUUUUCUUCUCCCUUUCUAAUUCUGUUCUUUCUCUUGCACAAUAUUGUGCCGCCACGCCACCCUCCCCCCCUUUUUUUUCCCUUUCUUUUAUUUGUUUAUUUCUUUUAUUUAAUUUUUGUUGAACCCUCUACACUAGUAUGCUUAAUUUCAUGAGUAAUUAAAAUUCCCAUCUAGCUUUAAGUCAAGACUCAAUUUGGGAGAGAGUCGUAAGAUUCGAAAUCAUACUUUAAAACCUUCAUUUCAGUAUUUGUUAUUUUUCUGGUUUAGGAGAUAGAUACUAUCGUCUCAUAAGGUUGUUUUGGCACCAAAUGAGUUCAUUCCUUUGGUUUUAAUAAAGAAUCAAUACUAUCGAUUGCCGUAUUCGAUCUACCAAAAAAACACAUUGACGUGUCCAAUUAAGUGGUUGAUUUAAACAAUACUUAAACAAAUAACUACACGAUGGUGAGGACGAGUAAAAACUUUUAAUAUCAUCCAUAUAUUUUAUAGGUGGUGUAUUGCUAUGUAGUAUACACUUAAUGGGUUGGCCUAUAUGAGUGUGUAGAGAGGCCGCUUCUAUGAGAUCUUUGGCAAUCUUUAGAGCACUCAUAAAAACUAGGCACGUGCAUGACCUAUUAGCACACAAUCGCAUUGAAGAAUGAAUCAUAAAUAUAAUGUGAUAAGUGAAAAAGUUAAUUUGGAAAUUAAAUAAUUAGUUCAAAAACUUAUUUCAUCAAUUAUUAAAGUAAAUCAUGUCUCAUUUGUUAAAAAUUCUGGUUCACAGUACAAAUGACAAUAUGAUUAUUGCAAUAUAUUGAAACACUCACUUAUAAAUUAAAUCUUUGAAAUAUGUGGGAAAUUAUUGGAAGUUUUCAUUUAUUUCAAAGAACUACAAAAAUCUCACAUUGCUAAAAAAAGAUCUUGAGUCAUUAUUUAUUAAGUCAUUAUACUUCUUUGAACUUAAUAAGAAUCAAAUUGAGAGAGUAGACUCGUGCACAUUCGAGCCUUUUUGUUUUUGGACUUAUUUUUUAUUGAAGUUUUGAGAGUUAAAGAAAAGUUAACUUGUAACACCUAUAUUUAAUCAUGCUAAAUAUAAUUUAAUCGAUUGAAGCUAUUUUUAAUUAAGUCCAAAUUCAUUGAACUAUUUUCAAACUAGUUUUAGCUAAUUGAAUCAACUUACCUUUGCUAUAUUAAGCCAAUGAAAUCCCUAUAAAUACCAUGCAUGGCAGUUUUCAAAGUUACUCAUUAGCUUUCAUCUUCUCAUCUAAAUUUCUUCUAUAUUCUCUUUAGAAAACCUUCCUCCUACAAUCUCAAUUGAGUGUUUAAUUGGUCGGCUCUUUAGAAAAGCCUUCAAAGAUAAUGAUAUUCACGCUCAUGAUUCUAAUUUUCUAAACCUCCGAUUUCUUAAGAGAACAUCAAGAGCAACAACCAGUCAAAUUUUAAGCUCAAUUAAAUGAAUUCACAAACUUAUAGAGUUUAUUAUUAUUAUUUUAAUUAGUAUCAAAAGUUCUCAAUUCAAGCUUGAAUUAUAAGUCAAAUUUUAAUUUUGUUAUUCAAGCUUUAUCUCAAAUCAAGCUCAAGCUUUAAAAGUGAAAUUUGAUUGAACUUGAGUUAAAUUUUGAGUAUCGAAUUUUAAAUUAGCUCAAAAUUUUCAAGUUAAGCUUUUGACUUGAUUACAUGGUUAGUGUAAAUCUUACAAAUGUAAAGUAUAAUAUAAUUAUAUAAAUUUUGAUACUAUAAUAAUUUCAAUUUUAAAAUUUUAACACAACUAUGGUCUAGAAUGUCCCAUUAUCAAGAAGCUUAAAAAUUAGAAGAUGCAGAUGAAAACAGAGCAUUCAAUUUGCUGAAUAAAUGUUGCAGAGAAUUAAGUAACCGCUUUAUUAAAUCAAAUAAGCUAUAGCAAAUCAGUUGAAUUUAGCUUUCAGUGCCUGCAAAAUUAAAUACAAAAUAUAUACGACUGAUUGCUAUUAUCAUCUUGUUCCUGAGGACAGUCAGAUACAUGGAACUAAAACAGCCAAUGUUUAAAACGGUUUCAUACCUUGAUACAACAUAAGGUAUGUGGGAAAUCGUGGACCACUCUCGUCCUUUACCCCUAAAAGUGGACAUAAUUAAAAAGGAAAACUUGUCUGUGAUAGAAAAUGAGGGGCUUUAAUUAAAUUACAACCAACCAGGAUGAACUCUGUUUCUGGAUUGAACUAUUGGAAUUGGUAAUCAGUGACUUAUUCACUAAGAACUAACUAUUCUGUCACCUUAUAUUCUUCCUAUAAUUUCAGGUUUAAUCCUGUUGAAUUAUACAUUCAGUCCACUGCAAUAUGAACCCGUGAAAACCACACUAAAUGAAACUGAUUGUUUAAGGAUCCCAUUCAUAUGAUGCAGCACUGCAAUGGGUGAUUAAACUGACUGUUUAAUCCUGUUUCUGUACACUACGCUUCUUCAAAAUCAUGCCUAGCCGAACUCUCUGACAUUGUGGACCGCAAGCGCACUCAAGGACAUAUUGUUCUUCCCAUCUUUUACCAUGUUGAUCCCUCUGAGGUUCAGCAUCUUAGUGGGAGUAUCAAGACAUACUUUGAUGACCAUGAAUCAAAGAGGCCUGUUGAUGAAGUGAAGCGAUGGAAAACUGCCUUUGUUGAAGUCUGUAAAUUAAUUGGGUGGCAUAUAGGUGGAAAAUUCGACAAGCAUCUAUAUAGUUUCUUUUCAUUUUCUUAUAUAUUUAACUUUCUUUUUUUUUUUUUGGUUUAUUUGCUAAGCUUGAAUUCGAGUACAUUAAAGAUAUUGUUGAAUAUGUUAUAAAAAGAAGAUGACAAAUAGCGAGUCUAAAAGUGCUUCUUAAGAAUUUGUUGGAAUAGAUGAUCAAUGAAGGAUGAUUUUGAGGCCAACUAAGGAAGAAGACAACUUUCCACAUUUUGGAAAAGACCUAGCCAUAAUAAAUAACAUAUGAGCAACAUUUUCUCAAUCUCAAAAUGUAAAAAGCAAUACUGUAAUAUCCUUUGAAGUUUGUUCGAAGAACAUUAGAAUGCUAAUCAUUAGAGUUUCAACUUAAGAUUGAGCACAAAAAAUAUUGAAAAGUUUCAGGUACUAGGUGUAUUUUGAAAGAGUUGCUCCUAUGGCAUUUUCUCACCAUUCUUUUUCUUCCAUGGAUCCAAAUGCCUGUAAAAGAAAAACAAGGAAUAAAAAAGCAUAUCUACAACUCCAACAGAAGAGGGGAAUACCGGAAGAACAACCUCUACUUACCCUAUCAUAAACACUGAUAACAUCACUGUUGAAGCCUUCCAAAGCAGGGAAUCUUCAUGUAAAGAAUGAUUGAAAACCCGCUGUGACACAUUUAGCUUUGAAGCUUCAGAUAGCUAGCCUGUCAAAAUGAUCAAAUAACAUAUCACAACUACCAUACAUGUGGUCUGAGCAUGAGAAAAUGAGGGAUGCUCUGAAAAUUUGGUGAUGAUCCAUCCCAUCCAUAAUCACAACGAUUGCGCUCAACCGAUGCAUCAAGAAGAGAAGUGCACACAUAAAAGUACAAAUACCGAGGAAAGCCAACUAAACAUCCUUCAAUAGUACAAUGAAAUGUCAAAUGUUUUUAACUAAAUCCCAUUCCCAUAUACAUAAGGCAUAACAAUUGCAGUUGAGCGAUUGCUCCAAGCCCAUGCCAUAUAGUACAAAGCAAAGGAUCCUUAAGGACGAGGACGAUAUAAGAGUUAAUCAAACAUAUACGCAAAAAAAAGCUUAGAAAUCAAAAGCUGCCGAUGAAAACAGAACAUUCAAAUUGCUUAAUAAAUGUUGCCGAUGAAAAAUAUAUGAAUAUACGCAUAAAUUUAGUAUUGCCAUUAAAUAUCAUGAGCACUGCACAAAUUUAAAGAAAAAAAAUUCUCUACAUUUCCAUUUUAUUUGACAUAUCUAGAUUUGUAAUUUGAAACUUUGUUCUUAUUCACUUGAAUUAAAAUUUGAUCUAAUCUGAUUUUAUCAUUAAAAAGAGCCAACAGCCUAAAUCUUAAUUGAGACGAAUAAAAGCCUAAUCAUGUGGUUUUGUGAGAAACUAACACUAGGGUAAUCUAAAAUUAAACGCCUGAUGAUCUCUCGACUCUUUUAGCUUCUUGCUAGGGAAUUAGAUUACUCUCACACACUAACACACACAUUUCCCCUAAGGUAGCUACGCUAGUUUUCUUGACUUCCCCUCUUAAUCACAGCUCUCAUUUCUAGUGAUUUUAUCCCUACAGAUUGAUCGACCAAUCAUGCUAAAUCGCUAAAUAAAAUAUCAUGCUGGCUGUGUGAAAAGAAAAUAUAACAAGAGAACACAAUGUGGUUCGGGAAUAUUAUUCCUUAGAACAACAGGCAGAACCAAGAAUGAAAAUUACAUCAUAAAAUAAAAUACCUCACCAUAAUAACCAUUCACAAACUUUGAGCAAGGUUCUAAAAGGUCAUCGACGGUAGACUUUGCAACUCUGGUACCAUUUGGCUUUUAACCCCCCAUCAAAUUUUGUGGUUCUCAAAGCUGAGUGAAUGUAGAAGGCUAAAUAAAUAACAUAUUUGGCUCCUUCACUUCUUUUUAUGAAGGUUUCCUUGAAGUGCCCUAUAAGAGUAUGAUAAUGCUAAUCAUUAGAGUCUCGGUUUAUAGAUUAAACAAAAAAUGAAAAGUUUCAAGUAGCAUUGGUAUUAUGAAAGGGUUAAUUCAAGGCCAUUUUCUCACCAAUUUUUCUACCUUGAUUCCACACAAUCCACAUGAUCAAAAAUGUAAAUUCUCAUCAAGUGAAUUGAUGCAGCUCAAAAGUAGCCUUCUAAUGAUUUCGUUGUGUUAAUGCCUAAAUUGAGCUCUCUAAUGCCAUGCCGUGGUGUGUAGUGUAUCCUUCCUGUAAGGAUCAAUACCAUGUUCAUAGUGGUUAUGAAAUCUGUUGACACUGAUAUCCUUAUAUCAAUACCAUGUUCAUAGUGGUUAUGAAAUCUGUUGACACUGAUAUCCUUACUCAAUAACCACGAAGAUCUAUAAACUAUUACGUAAAUACUUGUUCUUCUAGAACACCUUUGGGUAAUAUUUGACAUAGAUAUGUAAAACAGUUUAUAAAAUUUUGCAUGUAUUUAAAAGAUCAUAUCUUUUAUACUCGUCAAGGUGAAACUAAGAAACAUGAUUUAAAUAGUUCACUCGCACUCACUUUUAAAGGUGGAUUCUUGAGGUUUUAGCUAAAGUUAAAAAAAGCUUGAGUUCAAUUUAACAACUAGGACUCGAAGCUUGACUCAAGUUAGAUCAAGUUUCAGUUUCAAUGUAGAGCUCGAUUUUGAUAUAAAAAUUUACUUAAGUUCGUUAUAUUAGAUUCGUUUACCAAAUAAAAUGAAAAAAAAGGGUCAAAUUCUAUUAUUAAUUCUUACACUAUGUAUAAGUCAUGGAUUUAGUUUAUGUAUUUUAAUUUGGUUAUUUUUAGUCACUAUACUUUUUAAAAUUUAAAAUUUCAAUCUUCAUCAAACAGUAACUAUUAAAUUUAUUAAGUUAAACUAUACUAUUUUAAAAAAUAUGAUAUAAAAAAUUAUAUUAUCAUAUUAACUUGUUAUUUUCAUAUAAUACUCAUAAAAAGGUCACAUUAUUUUAGUUAAUGAAUUUAACUACUAUCGUUUGAGUCAAUAUUGAAAUAUCAAAUUUGAAAAGCAUAAAGACUAAAAACGAUCAAAUUGACGACCAAAUUAAAGUACAUGAACUAAACUUACAACUUAUGCGUAAUAUAAGGACUAAUAGUGAAAUUUGACCAAAAGAAAACAUGAAAUGAAACAUGCAUACAUACGUACCCUAAGUGCAAGGAAGUGUCUGAGAGAUGGUUGUCAUCAUCUGAUGCACUAUUAUUAUCAUCAGCCUUUGAAUUAUUUGGUGAAUGUUCAAGUCUUCUUUCCAGCAAUGGAUUCAAUUCUAGUAUAUUCGAGCUCCUUUUUUGUCUCAAUUCCUCAACCUUAAAACCACAUUCAAUAAUCAACAAAAUACAAUAUUACACACUCCAAAAUCUUAAUAUUAUAUAUAAGCUAAACUACACUACUAAUCACCCAAUUAUCGGUAAGUUUAUUUUUUGAUUACCCAAUUAUAAAAAGUUACAAAAUUGUCAUGAUUUUGUCCUUUUUGUCAUCCGUUAUUAAAUGGCUAAUGGCUAAUGGAAAGAUUACGUGGCAGGUUUUAAAAUUGGCAUUAUAGCGAUUUUAACCCUCAACAUUUAUACAUUGUGUCGAUUUAGUCUUGACUCUAAAAAGUUUAUCUCUCAACAUUUACAUGUAGUGUAAUUUAGUGUUUUUUACAAUUUUUUUGUGUGACCUUUUAACAGCUUAAAAAGCUAAAAAAAUAAAUUUAUCCAGCUCAAUUUUAUCAAAAAUAUAUUAAAUUAACACUCAAUGUCACAAAAAAAAGCAAAACUGCAAAAAAGACUAAAUUAUAGAAUGUGUAAAUGUUGAGAGUUAAAUUUUUUAGAAUGAAGACUAAAUUGACACAGUAGAAAUGUUGAGAGUUAAAAUUGCUAUUAUACUAAUUUUAAAAGCCAUUAAAUUAUCUUUCUGUUAGUGAUUUAACUGUUGGUGACAAAUAGUUUACUCUUAUAUAUAUAUAUAUGUAAAUACAUGUGUGCAUGUGUGUAGCAGUUGAUUAUACGUUUGACCUACGUACCUGUUUGCGUAGAUCUUCAUUCUCCAUUAUAGUCUUCUGUUCCUGAAAAUAUACAAAUAUUAAACCAGAAAUCAUUAGCAUUAAAUGUUAAUUACAAUUAUUUCAAAAGUAAAAUGUACCUGUAAUCUAGAUCUUUUAAGCUGCUCCAUUAGAAUUUACUCCUACAACAAUAAAACUUCAGUUUCUAGAGCUCACAAUUAGGCUCCUAAUGAAAUUAUUUUAAGUUUGUGUUUGUAGGAGAGUUACUAAAUAUACUUAAAUUAUGUUUGUUUGGAGUUAAUAUUGAUUAAAAUUAGAGAUAAUUUAUGGACGAAAAUAUUAAUUUAUUUCAAAUGAUGAAGCAUAGCAACUUUAAUAAUGUUGAGGGAUUGGAUCGGCGCAUCCGAGAAUGAUACUUUGAAGAUUUCUCUCGGAAGAACUGAUCUGUAGUCAAGUGGUACCAUAUACCUCAACAAUUGACCUAUAUUCAAUAAGUUAGGGGUUCGAAUCUCACCAAGGGCAAGACGUUCAAGUCGCCUAUUGGUGGGUGGUUGUACAUCCAUGUACGGUUAAAAACUAAUAUAUAUAAGUUUUAUAGACCGUUACAAACUAAUAUACACUCAUAUAAGUCGAUAUUAACUAAAACAGAUCAAAACACAAUGAAAUUUUAACUGAAACGAAACUUAAACUACUUUAUAUUAAUUCAAUAUUGAGAGGAUAGCCAAUUAUUAAGAAAAGAAAAAUAAUGGAAAUUAAUCAAAUUAUAGGUCAACUUACUUUCAUGCUUACAAAAAAAAAUUGCUAAAAUUAAAAAUUGAAAAAACCCAGAUUUCGAUUAUUAAAAAUCAUCUAUAAUAUAUAUAAGUAUUAUACUAUAUGAUAUACCUAGUGCUGGACCAUUGAUAGACCUUGCCGGUGCUUGAAAAAAUAAUAACCCCAACCUCUGCAUCACAUAAAAUGGACAAUUCUUUAGCUUUCUUCAACAACCCAUUUCGCCUCUUUGAAAACGUUACUUGCCUGCUAUUCAAAUUUUCUAUCUUUUUUAUUUCAAUUUUCCCUCUACCCAUCUCAAAAUUUUCUUCAUUCCUUUACUUUUCCCGGAAAUUUUUAAAAGAAAAGAUAAACCCCAGAUAUUUUUUUUCUUAAAUUUUGAAAAAAACCAAAGGUUUUUAUAACAACAAACAGAUCAAAGAAAAUAAGGCAAAAAAUUUAGGGGAUUGUAAAAGGAUUCUUUUUUUAAGAGAAAAGAAAAUAAGUAAGUAAUGUUUAUAUAUAACAAUUGUUUUCUUAAAUGGAAAUGGAAAUGGAAAUGGAAAAUGAUAUGGAAAAAGAAGAUAUGUGACCAAAAUUAGGGUGAAAUCUUGAAAGGUGACAGAUUUGAUACUAUAUCUAGCAUUUAUCCAACUAUGGAAACUCUAUUUAUUAUAGCUUUAGUUUCUUUUUUCUUUUUUCUUUCUAUUUUUCUUAAUUUCUCUACCUUUUUACUCUGCUGUUUUUGGCACUUCAACUCAAAAUGGAUUUUAUUUUUGCUUUGGGUUUCUUUUUUCAAAUAUAAAAAGUGGUUUUUAAUUAUUUAUAGAUUAUUAAUGUGUUUUAACAAUUUUUGUUAGUGAAUAUUGAUUUUUUUUUUGUGAAUUACAAUAGGAGGGCAAAGCCCUAAUAACAACACGACUAGAGCGAUUCGAAUUUAGGCCACACCUGAGACGUUGAACACAAGUAUUUCACGAGGACAUAUAACACAUGUUUUUUAAAUUCAUGGCUAAAAUAAUAAUAAAAACCUCUUUAUUUUAUUGUAUUCAAAUAAUAAAAAAAACCAUGGUUUUAGUCGUAUCGGCCGGUGCCGCCGUUCUACUAUUAUAGCGCAACAAGCAUCACCCUUUUCCAUCCUAAUGAAAAUUUUGGUUUGUACCAUUCACAUUGACCAGAACACGGUACACCUGCUGCAUAAAUAAUGUUAAAAAAUAUAAAACUUUUAACUAUUUUCUAUUAGACUAAAUAUUUAAUUGAAAUGUAUUGACCAAUAAAAAAUAUUACACUAGAAAGUAAAGUUUAACCUUUAAAACUUUUUUAGAGCAUACUUUUUCUUUUAAAAUAUAAAAAUUAAAAUUAAUAAAAAAAAAACUCACUCACCUCGUUAUCAUAGAAAAAUAUUCACUCGUCCUUCAGCUUUUUUUAUUGAAAAAACCCCCUCAUCCUUCGAUUUCUUUUUUUUCUUCUUAAUUUUGAAUUUAUUGAAUGAUGAGUUUUUACUUGUGGAGUUUAUUAAUCAAUAUUUUAUAUAAUUGAUGAAUAGUUUUAUAUUAAAAAUUUAUUUAUAAUAAUUUAUUUGAUAUUUGUAUAUUUAUUUAUAUAAAUAUAUUAAAUAUUUUUAAAAAUAUCGAUAAAUUCAAAAUGGUACAUAAAAUAGACUAGUACCAAUCCAUACCGAUUCUCAUAGAAAAGAGGUUUUCUGCUUAAAAUAUUUGAAACACACAAACUUUUAAAGGAGGUAACCUUCUGUACCGACAAAGAACCUUCAUCCACCAAUUCUUCACACCCUUCAACCCAUAUUUUACGCAGCAAGGGAAAACAAGAAAUUGAAACUACCAGUCUCUUACAGUUGUAGAUUUCAAGCGUCCGCAAGGAUUGAAGGAUGGUUGGCAACCUUCCCAGCAAUAGAGGACAUUUUCUGAUUGAAAGAAAACGAAGGCUGGGGAAUUUCGAUACUUGCUCAUCAUCUUCACAUAGGUCCCACUCCUCCCAAUUCAGCAUAUUGCCAAAACGCAGAGACUCUAAUGAUGCAAAAGUAUUUGAUUGAUUUUCUCCAAACAUCUCAGCACCAAUCUUGUGUACUUGAUCCAAACCACUAAUUGAAAGAUCUUU